UAUACGUGGGCUCAAGAAAUAUCAUGUAUAGGGGCCUUCGCACCCCACACACACAGUAGUAUAUCAUGUUCUUUCACAUGUUUUACCAUUAAAACAAAUCAUUUAGUUCGAUCGAUCACAAGCCCCUAAUGCUGAACAGCAAAGCGACUAAACAUGCAAUAAAUCACAAAACUUCAAUUUAUUAUUACACACCAAAGGCGCACACCAGUUUAACUGAAGAACGAUACUAAAAACUCAGUCUGAUAGGUGGAUCAUCAAAGGAGAAUCAAGGCAUCCAAAAGCAAGGCCAACAUAGGAGUGGUGCACCAUGCCAGGGACAUAGCCAGUCGAGGAAAUUCAGCCGGUGAUCCUCAGAAGAACCCCCGUACGAUGCCACCCCCACGCUGCACGGUAGGCUUCACCUGCCACCUACUCCAUGACUUAUGCUCCUAGCGUCAACACCCUUUGAUUUCCCUCCUUUUAUCUGCAAAAUUGCCAAAUUUGUUAGGCAUUGACAUAUCAACCUGAUAAGCAUAAUUAGAACAUUUAUUAGCUUCUUUUUCCAAAAACAACAACCGGUUUUGCAUCUCCAAUUUGUCCAAAAGAUAGCAGCGACACCAACUAACACCCGUUUUUGGGUUACAUCAUGUUGGUUUUUUUUAAUCCAUCCACUAAAGCACAUAUCAGAUUAGCAUGAUUGAUCCCAAAUUUAAAUCAUAUUUAAGAAAACCCCACACUAGUUUAUCCACUGAACAUCUGAAGAAAAAGUGUUUAUUCCUCUCAUCUUGACCACAAAACACACAAUUUUUGGGAUCUAUCCAGCCACUUUUCAAUAAAUUAUCUCUAGUUAAUAUGUUAUUUUUGACCAUCAACCAAAGAAAGACUUUGAUUUUUGGUGAAAUUUUAGUUUUUAUUAAAACAAUUGUGGCAAACCACAAUAUUGAACAACAAGGUGUCUAUAAAGUGAUUUGACUGUAAAAAGACCAUAUGCAAUUAACAUACACUUAAUAGAAUCCUUGUUGUGAGACAUCAUAUUCCAUCACAUCUCAUUUUGAGGCUAUCCCAAAGAUCUAGAGCAUCACCUGACAAAGUUCUUCUAAAUCUAAAACCCUCCCAACUUCUCUAAAAGGCAUCAGCUGCAGUAAUAUUGUGAUCAGAACUCAAAUUAUACAGUAUGGCAUAAGAGAUUUUAAGGGGUUUAAAAUCUACCAACAGUCUUCCCAAAAUCUAGCAUUCAUUACCCACUUUUUUACAAUAUUGGUACAAUAAGUAUUUAAUUUUCAUGAUACUGGACCAAAAAUGGGAGUUCCCAGUCUUAGGUUUAGUUCCAAAAAGGCAACCAUUCUGAACAUGCUUGUUCAGGAGAAUCAUGUGCCAAAUACCAUUUUUAGUUUCUACCAUAACUAUUUAGCCGACAAGUUUUGUUCAUGAGUUCAAGAUUUAAAAUCCCUAAACCCCCUUGAUCUUUAGGUCUAAAUCAAGUGUUCUAGUUUACUAAGUGUUAUUUUUUCUUAUUGCCAUCUCCCUGCCAAACAAACCUAGCCAUGAAGAAAUUGGCUCUUUUCUUCACAUCAACUGGGAUGGGGUAGAAAAACAUCAUACAUAAGUUGAAUCUCCCCCUCUAUUGUUAAAUCUUCUCUCAUAGUUGUUAAAUCUCCCCCCUUUUGUUGAAACUACCUUACGCUCCUGCACCACUGCAAGCCCUAGCCAUCCCUUCUUGCUCACCAGGUAGCGUCGCCGGAGAAGUAAAGCCUUACCACACAUCGCUUGCACGCCCACCAAAUUCCCUUAGGGUGCGGACCAAAGCAUCUAAAUACCCAAAGGCAGCAGAAGACACAUUCUCCUUAAGUGUUUUCCUAUCCCACCAACCUGGACCUCUUGAUCAAAAACAUCCAGUCCAACCGCCCAGGGCCAACUACAGAAGGUUCAAUGGGUAAAGGCCAAAACCUUAAAACUCACCCCUCCUUUCUCAAUAUUUAUCAUCACAACAUCAAUGUAAUCUAAGAAAUCCACCCCCAAAACAAGCUAUCCUUUGUACAAUUGGCAAGGAUAGCUGGAAAAUUACCAAUUCUUGUAGCCUUUUUUACUAGAUUUCCACCAGUAACAUCUAAUUCCAAUUAAUGACUAUAUCAUCACAAAUUUGAUAUUGUGGGUAUCAACAUCAGGAAGAUCCAAGGAGAAAUCAUCCUCAUAACAGUAUUACAAUCAAAAUCAAUGACAUGAUCAACUUCCAUCGGAAAAUCCACCGAAGACUUUUCGGAGUAUGCAACUAAGAUCUCCUAACCCUAUUUCUCGUAACUACACCCCCAACUGUUAGUUUGUACAUGAGGAUGUAAAUAUUUGUAGAGAUCAACAAUCUUACUAGAAAAUGAAGCAGCAAAACGAUUGUAGGAGUCCUCGACUCCUCCCCAGCAGCAGCCAUAAUUGACUGCCUGCCAGGAAGACGCCUACUCGUCGGCGGCGCUCUGUGCAAGCGCCUGGAUCCGUGCAGAACGCCGGGGGAACCGCGGGGAGCGACGAGGCAACUGUGAAACCACCCGCGCCACAUUUUGCCUCGGCACCACCCGCACAUCAUCGUCGGUCACGACAGGCAUCACCGGACAGUGUGGCGGUGACCUUGUCGUCGUGGUCACCACCCGCACACCAUCCCAGACCAGAUUGGACGAAACCCAAUCUUGUGACGCGUAGCGGUACCACCGCGCGCGCUGCACUGGAUCGUUUGAUUCCGCCUCCAUCAUUGCCCAAUAGAGGAUCUCGAGCGGGGCCUUCCCUGAGAUCCAACUUUGUUCCUCCUCAGAGGCCUCUUCAACCACCCGACGUGAUUCCUGAUGCAUCUCCUCUGCAUCCCUGAACCGCCCACAGAUCUCGCGAAGCCUCGCCAUCUUCGCCUCGUCGCUACCCGCGAUUGCCGCCGCCAUGAGAUCCCCCCACGCCAAAGGCCCUUCCAUCACCGAGAUCUGAGACGGAGGUUGGAGGAAGAGAAGAAGGGGAUCGUAGACACCCUCGUGCCUUGCGUGUAGAUUUAAUGCUUGCCAAAGUCAUAGGUAUUCAUUUCCCACAUCACGGGUUCCUCGAGAUUAGUGUGGGAUCAACGUCGUUGAUUUUUUGGAAAUUAUUAUGUCCUGGAUCUUGAGAAAUCAUCUAUUAGGGGCCAUCCUAUCAAGAUCCCAAUGCCCAAGUUGUACUCCACUAAAACUAGAAUUGGCAUCCGUCCAUCCACGGAACGAGCACAAGCCAACAAGAUUACACCAAACGUGACGCUGCAUCAGUUUCAGUUUCAUAGAAACGCUGCCAUGGGAAAGCAAAGAAAUUGUUGGUAAAAUGAGGCAAGGACAGCGUGGUAAACGAUGUCUAGUCUAGGCCCUGUCUACCACCCGCCGCACCGCAAAUGCACCAUCCAGCACCCAACAUGUGUCCUAGCCGCCGAAUGGGUCAGACUAACAGUCACCUUACAAGCCGACCCCACUCGCAGCCACACCCAACACGCCCUUAUUAACCCCGUGGACACCAGAACCAAUUCGAUCAUCUCCCCGUCGUCAACCUUGCCGCAUACGUCCCUCCGCUCCGCGUAAUAAGAAGUUAAAAACCCAUGCCUCCAGACAUUUUCCCAGUUCGUCCACCGGCAUCACCGCGUUGAGCCCUAGCCACGCAUGGAGCUGUUCACGCACGCCAAGGAAAUUCUCCUUCCAGUUUGUACCUGUACGACAACCACUAACCUCUUUUCGUCGAGCUUUUCACUGCCCAAGUUCUCUAUUUAUAACCUGAAUUGUGGGUAGGCUUUCCACCACCAUCACCAUGACCAUGCUUAUAUAAACCGCGAUGGCGGAUGUAGACAAGGAUGGAUGGAUGGUCAGGUGCCUAGCUAUAUUUCUUCUAUGCAAUGUGUUGUGUGAUAUUGUGUUUCAGUCAUGGCAUGUUUUGAUCCUGCACAUGCUUUUGGCACUGAGAUGUUGCCAUCAUUCGUGUUUCUUGUGGGUUUGGGUUUGGAUGUUCAUGUAAGGAGGUUUGGCAUGCCAUGUUACGCCUUUCAUUCUUUUUACAGAAGAUUGCAUGUUUUCCUUGCGUAUAGGAGGUUUUUCUGGUUCAUGUGGUUUUCUUAGUGCUUCGUUUGCGCGGCGCACUUGAGCAAGUUCCAGCUAUGGAAAUGAUAGCAAUGAUUGAUGAGGAGACGAGGUAGUUGUACACAUAUAUAGUUGCCAACACUGUUUUUAUCUCAAUUUGGCCUGCCUUUAUGGGGUCGGUGGCAUUCAACGCUGAUGUUUUAGUCCAUGAUUGGAUUGGACAUGUUGCGUGCUACAAACCGUCCUUAGCCUUGGGCCCAUAUAUACUCCUGAUGUAAGUGAAAGAUAAGUUGUCAAUAGCUAGCUAGUGCUCCCUCGGUCCCAAAAUAAGUGACUCAAUUUUGUACUAAUUUAAGUCUGUUCUGACGUUAAUUAUAGAAGCAUGACUUUGGCCUGGAUUGUGUCGAUGCGAUGCAAUGCAAUUUCCUGGAUGCCAAUUGUUUGGUGGAACCACGAUUUCAGUCUUGACGUACGUACAUGACCCGUGACGCAUUGUCCGGCCAAACUUCUAGAUGCAAUACACGUAAACAAGAGGAAGAAGUUGACCUCCGCGUCCUGGUGCUGGAGAACAAAACGACCCAGAGAUGCAGCAUCCUUCAUGUGGAAAAUUGAUCUUUCUCAAAAAAAAAAAAGAAGUGGAAAGCUGAUCCUGGCACGCACGGGUCUCUCUCGGUGACAAACGCUUGCAUUGUUGUACUCCCUCCGUCCGAAAAUACUUGUAUCCAUUUUAAUGACAAGUAUUUUCAGACGGAGGGAGUAUGUAUUUAGGCGACGACGGAAGCCGCGCCACGAAAGGAAGUUAAGUGAUCACGCACCACCAAAACUAGAGUUUUCGCAUCUGACAGUCACGCCCACCUAAAAUGGCACCCUUUGUCAGCGUUGCACUCUUCGCACGUAUUCUUAAUCGUGAAGCUUCUCGUAGGAACAAGCAAGUAAAUGGAUCGAUGGAGAAAUUUUGUUGUCUGUCAAGUACCUCGGCAGUCAGCUAGGAGUACUUAAGCAGGAGUGGCCGUUUGAAUCAAUCAGGUGGCGGAAGAUACGUACUUACUCCCCUUCCGGAGAAAGACCGGGAUAAGUGCACACAGUAACAAAAGUCGUGUGGGACGUCCCACGCAACCGCACGCCCGGAAAAGUUGGAUCGCUCGAGGCGAUCAGGGAGGCGACUAGGGGGCCUUGCGCGCCGCCGGUGACGCCGCCGGUUCCCUCUCUCCGUUGGCCGCUCCGGCGACGGGAGGGAGGGAAACCUCGGGUCUGUUCACUAGGUGGGUGUGUGGUAGGGUUAGGGUUGAGGAAAAUGCUGCCGAGGUCGUUGCGGUGGUGUCGCGUCGGAAUAAGUUUCUCCGGGCUUCGUUCGCGGUCAGGCGAGGCUUUUGCCUUCGUCUAGAAGCCAGCGGUGUUGGGGAUCCCCGGAUCUCGUCGAGGUCGCGGGCUAUGGUGGUUGGAGGUCCAUCGGCACUGGCCGUUUGGAUCCUCAGAUGGGCGAUGGAGGUAGGGAGACGAAGACCUUUCUUCUUCCUUGUUGGUACGAUUUGCUGCUGCUGUUCUUCUCCUUCCUCUGCGCUGAUGCUGGUGGGAGAUCCUGCUUUGCCCGGGCGGAUGGCCCGGCCGCGGUGCUGGACCGGUCGGAUGACUCGAGUUCUCUUCCUUCCGAAAGGGACACUUCUCGCGGUACUCAAAGCCAAAGAUGGCGACGGCUGUUGCAAGUGUGUUGGAUUGAGGUCCAUGCCCUCUCAACGCUGGUGUCAAGAAAGGAGGAAGCAGCGUGGCGGCAAUUGUACCGUGGUCGAAGAUGAUGACCUGUUUGCGACUGGUUGCAGAUCCUUCUGCUGCAGGGGUCUUCUCUCAAGAUUCAGGGAUGAUGACACAGGGCUCUGGAGAUCUUCUUGUUUUAUGGUUGUCUUAGGGUACUCUAGGUGUUCAUGGUCCUUUGUUUUUGCGUUUCGGUGUGCUUGUAAGGGUCACCUACUCUGUACUGAUUCGUGAUUUGAAUGAACAAUUUCUAAAAAAAAGUCGUGUGGGGUGCGACACGCGGUUGAGUGCACGGCGUAGGAAUGAAAUGAUGGUUGGCACAAGACCGCACCGGGCCAUGCUGCCUGUUCGUGGUCGGCAACUCGGCAUGGGCACGUCCAGGUCAACCGACCGACCGUAGCAGCAGCACAGCACACAGACAGAGCUACGAACGAGAUCCUUGAUGGCUUCCUGUCGCGUCAGCACCCACUGGUACUCAUCGUCGACCGACCGACCGUAGCAGCAGCACAGCACGCGCUUGUAGCGUUGGCUGGCGGUUCCAUCCCUCGAUUGCACUUCUACAGUGUGCGGGUCAUUCCGUGCUCUGCUCUGUCCAGGGCCUGCGCCCACCGCACGUGCUCGUCACAGAGUACAGUAUCACAGGAUUCCCAGUAUUCCAUUCUACGGUCUCGUCGAAUAUUUCCGAGCUACUGUAUGCGGGCUCAAGAAAUAGCAGCACGUAUAGGUACGGGGGCAUUCGCACCACACACAGUAGUAUGGCAUGUUCUUCCACAUGUUUUACCAUUAUAAAAUAAAUCAUUUAGUUCGAUCGAUCACGAGCCCCUCAUACCGCGAAUAAACAGGCAACAAAUCAACAAACUCCAACUUAUUAUUACACACCAAAGUCGCACAACAGUUUAACCGAAGAACGGUGAUAAAACUCAGUCUGAUAGAUGAAUCAUCAAAGAAGAAUCAACGCAUCCAUAAGCAAGGCCGACAUAGGAGCUAUGCACAUGCCAGGGAUGUAGCCAGUCGAGGAAGUUCAGCCAGUGAUCUUCGAAACCCCCGGACGACACCACCCCUGCGAUGCAUUGUAUGCUUCACCCGCCACCCGCUCCAUGACUUUUGCUACCAGGGUCAACACCCUUUGAUUUCCCUCCUUUAUCUGCAAAAUUUCCCAGUUUGUAUCCACCGACAUAUCAACCCGAUAAGCAUAAUAGGGUCAUUUAUCAGCUUUCUUUCAUAAAAAAAAACUAUCAUUUCUGCUUCUCCAAAUUGUCCGAGAGAUAGUGGUAACACCAACUAACACUAGUUUUUCAGUUUCAUGUUGAAAACUUUUAAUCUAGUUACUAAAGCACAAACUCAAAUUAUAAGGAAUAGAUCUCAAAUGAAAAGCACAUUUAAACAAACCCCACACUAGUUUAGCCACCAAACUCCUAAAGAAUAACUACUUAGAGCUCUCAUCAUUUUUUGGGGACCGAUCUAGCCUCUUUUCAGCAGAUUGUCUCUAGUUAAUAUGCUAUUUUGACCAUCGACCAAAGGAAGACUUUCAUUUUUGGCGGAAUUAUGUUUCCACAAAAAGGUGGAAACGCAUAAUAUUGAAUAGCUUAUGGUUUUGAUAAUAAAAAGACUGUCUACAGUUGACAUACACUUAAUAGAAUCCUUGUUGUUAGGCACCACAAUUUCCUCACAUCCUUUUUUGAUGCUACCCCCAAGAGCUAGAGUAUUACCCCACGUACUUCUCAUAAAUCUAAAAUCCUCCCGGCCUUUCUGCAAGGCAUCAACUAUGAUAAUAUUGUGAUCAAAACUAAAAUUGUGCAAUCUAGCAUAAGAGAUUUUAAGAGAUUUAUCAUCCACCUACCUGUCUUCCCCAAAUCAAGUAUUUUUGCCAUUAUCCACUUUUUUUGCAAUGCUGGUAGAAUAUGUCUUUUUAUUUUCAUGAGGCUCGACUAAAAAAGGGAGUCCCCUGUCUUAGGUUUAGCUGCAGAAAAGCAACCAUUCCGAACAUGUUUGUUCGGGAGAACUGUUUGCUAGAGACCAUUUACAGUCUCUAACUUCCAUAACCAUUUAGCCAGUAUAGCAUUGUUCAUGAGGUCAAGAUAUCUAAUCCCUAGCCCCCCCUUGCUCUUUAGGUCUAAAGCCACUGGCCCAGUUUACUACGAGAUUUUUUUUUUCUUGUUGUCGUCUCAUGCUAAACAAACCUAGCCAUGAAGAAAUUGUCUCUUUUCUUCACACCAAUCGGGAUGGGGUAGAAAGACAUCAUAUAAGUUGAAUCCUCCCCUUAUGUUGUUAAAGAAUCGAGGACAAAUCAUCCCCAUCAACAAUAUUAUAAUCAAAAUCAGUGGCAUGAUCAACUUUCGCUGAAAAAUCCAGUGAAGAACUAUUUGAAGCAUGCAAAUCACAUCUUUAAACCCUAUUUCUUGCAGCUACAAAUCCCCACACCAUUACUUUGUAGAGGAGAAUGUAAAGAUUUGUUGAGACCGGCAAUCUUACUGGAAAACGAAGCAGAAAAACAGUCGCAGGAGUCCUCUUCGCCGAACUCCUCCCCCUAGCCAGCAGCCAGAAUCGACUGCCAGCCGGGAAGAUGCCUACCCAUCGGCGACGCUCUGUGCAAGUGACUGGAUCCGUGCAGAACGCCGGGGAAACCGAGGGGAGCGACGUGGCAGCUGUGAAACCACCUGGGCAACAUUUUGCCUCGGCAACACCCGCACGUCAUUGUCGGUCACGACGGGCAUCGCCGGACUGCGUGGCGGUGACCUCUCCGCCAUGGUCACCACCCGCACACUAUCCCAGAUUGGGUCGGACGAAACCCACUUGUACGGCAAGUAGCGGUACCACUGCUCGCGCCGCAUCGGAUCGCCGGACUCCGCCUCCAUCACCGCCCAAUAGAGGAUCUCGAGCGGGGCCUUCCCUGAGAUCCGACUCCGCUCCUCUUCCGAGGCCUGUUCAACCACCCGACGUGAUACUCGACGCAUCUCCUACGCAUCCCUGUAUCGCCGAUAGAUCUCACAGAGCCUCACCAUCUUUGCCUCAUCGCCGCCGCGAUGGGAUCCCCCCACACCCAAGGCCCUUCCAACCCCAUUGGCGCCAUGUUCUCCCCCCACGCCCAAGGCCCUUCCACCGCUCAGAUCUGAGAUGGAGAUCAGAGGGGAGAAGUAGGGGAUCGCCGAGACCCUCAUGCUUCCACGCGUGGAUUUAAUGUCUGCCAAAGUCAUAUGUAUUCAUUGCCCGCAUCGCGGUUUCCUUGAGAUCUGUGCGUGAUCGACGCCGUUGAUUUUUCUAGAAAUUAAUAUGUCAUAUAUCUCGAGAAAUCAUUUAUUAGGCGCCAUCCUACAAGAUCCCACUGCCCAAGUUCUACUCCACUAUAACCAGAAUUGGCAUCCGUCCAUCCGCGGGACGAGCACCACCCAACAAGAUUACACCAAACGUGAUGUAUCAGUUUCAGUAUCGCAGAAACGCUGACGUAGGAAGCGAAGAAACUGUUGGUAAAAUGAGGCACAAACAGUGUGGUAAAAGUGUCCGGUCCAGUCUGACACUCGCCGUGCCGCAAACGCACCAUCCAGCACCCGACAUGCGCCCCAGCCACCGAACGGGCCAGACCAAUAGUCAUCUUACAAGCCGACCCCACUCACAGCCUCACCCAACACCCCCUUAUUAACCGCACACACAGCCAGAACCAAUUCAAUCAUCAUCAACCUCACCGCGUACCUCCCUCCGCUCCUCGUCAUAAUAAGUUAACAACCCAUCCCUCCCAGACAUUUCCUCGGUCCAUCCACCGGCGCCGCCGCGCUGAUCCCCGACCAAGCAUGGAGCUUUUUGCGCACGUCGAGGGAAUUCUCCUUCCAGCUUGUACCAGUACGACAACGACUAACCUCUUUUCGUCGAGGUUUUCACUGCCCAAGUUUUCUAUUUAUAACCUGGAUGGUGAGCAGGCUUUCCACCACGAUGACCAUGACCAUGCUUAUAUGAACCGCAAUUUUAUUUUUUAAGAAAAGGAGGAUUACCCCGUCCUCUACGUCAGAGUGAUGCAUGUAGCCCCGACUAUAUGUACCGUAAUGGCGAAUGUAGACAAGUAUGGACGGAUGAAUGGAUGGAUGCUCGAGUGUUUUAUAUUUCUUCUAAGCAAUUUAUUGUGUUGUGUGAUAUCGUGUUUCAGCCGUGGCAUGUUUUUGUCCUGGGCAUGCUUUUCGCGCUGAGGUGUUGCCAUCAUUCAUGUCUCUUGUAGGUUUGGACUUGGACUAGAAGAAAAUGUGCGCCUUGCCGCGCCAUUUUCAUUGUUAUUGUAAAAUCAACUCAAUCUUUUUCUUUUGUUGUGUGUAGUUAUCGGACAGAACAUACAUGUGUUUCCUCGUGUAUCGUCGAAGUCAUGGAAUAUAAGAUUCUACCUAUUCACUAUAAGUUGAUACUAUUUUUUAUUUGGAUCGUAUAGAGUAAAUAUAUAAGAGGUGAAUAAAAAGUGAUUUUCUAUUGAAAUACAUCUUAUUCUCAUAUAAAGGUUGCAGUGCACCAGAUAUAUGAGUAAAGCAUUUCGAUGCUCGAGCUGACACUGAGCUCAGAAUCCUGGGCUUCCAUUCUGUCUUUGGGAUAUUGUUUUUUUGGGGGUUGUCAUUGGGAUAUGUUUUUUUUCUUAUGGUCGGUCAUUAGAAAAACCUUAUUUUCAUCCAAAUACAAAAUUGGAAUAUAUGAAUACUGCAGUACAGCCGUAUGGACCUACCACGUGAUAUUGACUACGUACAUGUGCCUGAGCUGAGGCCGAUAAGGGCAUGUACAAUGCAUAGCCUCAAGGUGAUGCCUCGCAUGCCAUGUAGGAUCGGAUAUGACGUAAAGUAGGUUCGGAUAGGGAAGCAGGAUCCUCUCCAGGAGAUGGGUGCUUGAAGAGAAAAAGCAUGGUCCGGUGACAAAAACUGAAAAGGUUGGAGUGAAAAGUAAAGAUGCAUGUGUACUAGAGUCUUUAUUUUUUAUUUCUUAAUGAGGCCCACUAGUGAUACCUUGCAUUGGAGAGGGAAAAUUAAUAUAGGUGCUUCAAAUUACUUUUUGCCAUGGGGCAUAUGUAUCCAUAUGCCACCAUUGUACAUGCUCAAAGAUGUGCGAAAUUAAAAAUAACAGCAGUCUCCCCGUGGAUGUUCUCUCUGAGCUCUCUCUCUCUUUCUCUCUCUCCUCACAGUCGUGGGUUACUUGUCGGCCUCCGGCGCACACGUUGGAGCAGGGGAGGACAUGCGUAAAUAAAGCUUGAGGCUUACGCGGUAAGUACACCCCUUUAACUGGAUGACAUGCUGGUCCCACAUCUCCAAUUGAACAAGGGAGCUCCAUUUUUUGGGGGCUUAGUAACUGUAAAGAUGCUCCUGUAAAAAGGUGGUGGUUUGCCUAGCCACGUUAUGCUUUCCUUCCAUUUUGUCUGAAAAGUUCCAUGUUUUCCUUACGUAUAGGAAGAUUCCCUCAUUCGUGUAUAUAGUUUUCUGCUUGGUUUGCGCGCACACUUGAGCAAAUUCCAGCUAUGGAAAAGAUAAGAAUGAUUGAUGAGAAGAUGAGGUAGUUGUACUUGUACAUGGAUAUAGUUUGCCAACAUUGUUUUAAUCUGAAUUUGGCCCGUCUUCAUGGGGGUGGUGGCAUUCGACGCUGAUGUUUUGUCCAUGAUUGAAUUGGACAUGUUGCGUGCUACUAACCGUCCUUGGGCCCCAUAUAUACUCCUCAUGGUAAUGGAAGACAAGUUGCCAUUGGCUAGCUAGUCCUUAUGAUUUAAGUGUGUUGUGAUGUUAAUUAUAGAGGCAUGACUUUUGACUGGAUUGUGUCGAUGCGACGCAGUGCAAUUCCCUGGAUUCCAAUUGUUUGGUGGAAGCACGAUUUCAGUCUUGACGUACGUACAUGUCUAGUGACGCAUCGCCCGGCCAAACUCUAAAUAAAAUAUACGUAGGCUAGAAACUCCCCGUUGAGAGAUGGACGGUUGAUGUGAAAAAUCGAUCUUUCUCAACAACAACAAACGCGUGCACUGUUGUAUUUAGGUGACGACGGAAGCCGCGCCAGAAAAGGAAGUUAAGUGGUCACGCAUGGAUCAUUCGACAUGCACCAUAAGUAGAGUUUUCACACCUGACAGUCACGCACACCUAAAAUGGCAUCCUUUGUGAGUGUUGCAUUCGUCUCACGCAUUCUUAAUCGUGAAGCUUCUCGCAGGAACAAACAAUUAAACAAGCAAGUAAAUGGAUAGAGAAAGUUUGUUGUCUGUCAAUUACCUCGGUAUUGAGCUAGGAGUACUUAAGAAGGAGUGACCAUUUCAAUCAAGCAGGUGGCAGGUGACUGAAUCUGACGCGGAUGUGCACGUACCACGAGCUUGAGUGCGCGGCAGCGGCAGCGGCUGCAUGUAUGCGACGAGGCCGGAUUCGGCACGAGUGAGUCGAGCCAUCGAUCGGAUGGAGUCCAGGUCAGACCAAAUCCUCUUCCCUUUCCUGCUGAGGCAGACGCGUCCUUCCGUGAGACAGCAGCGGCACAUACAUUUGGAGCUACGAUACGAUGAACAACCCGCGCCUGGUCGAUCAGCCUGGUCUGCACAGACAGUGACCAUGUCCUGUGGUAGGUGUCUCGAUCAUGCAACGAGCAACGGUUAGCGCUUGUCGAUCAUCACUCGACCUGAGCAGGAGUAGGAUGUUCACACUCCACUCCACGGUCGCAUGAAGAAAUCUAUGAUUUCCACUUUACCUUGCCAGUGUGACUAACCGUUGCUCUCGAUCCACCGCUCUACAAUGAGUACUAGUACUAUGUUCACACUCCACAGUCCAGUCGCAUUAGGAAGUUUCUCCUUUUAGCGUGCUGGUGUGCCCGGCCGUUGCACACAAUGGACGGACGCAUCUUCUCCUCUCUAUAUCAGCAGUAAGUAUAUAUACGUACUACUACGUACGAAGAUAUGAGUAUUAAUUAAUUGUAUGCGCACGGGCGGGCGUAUCCUUACUCAGCAAAGUUUUCUUCCCUUGGUUACGCGCGCUUAUGCGUACACAGGAGGACGGAAGCUUCUGGAUCGGGCGGGAAACGAGCCAAACCGGAGACCAAGACGAAACUGACGUUCCAUUGUAGGUGCGAAUGCGCGACACAAGGUAGAGUGCACAACGUGCGCUCACUGCGCGACAGCCGAAUUCCAAGAGACGAAUGAAUGAUGUUUGUUCGUGGUCGGCAUGCGCCGACGUCCAGGUCAAACCCAACUCGGCAUGCAUCGACGUCCAGGUCAAACCAAACUCGAUCUGUUCACUGAGAGCUACGAACGAGACCCCUGAUUGCUGCAGUAGUACUCAUCGUUACAAACUUACAAUCGAGAGGCAAAAGAUCUUCAGUACAAAGAGAUCUUGGUUGAGCCACACCCCUGACACAUUCCCUUCCUUACUACUAUAAUUUGUCAAACAAUCAAUCCUAUUUUGUUCACGCCCAAUAUUCUGAGGAAUAAACUCCCUGUCGAAACACAAAGCCUUUGUCUCCAAGCCAAGAUACCUAUAAGCAGAGCGGGAGAGAGCUUCAGCGGAGAACACUCCUAAUGCCUACGAGGAAUUGAACUAUACAAUGACUGGAAAGUCUGUAUGUUGAAUAGCAAAAGCCAUACCUUGCAUGAUGCAUGUAACUCACCUCCAGCGCCUCGUUGCAAUUAUAUAUAUAGCAAUAGGUUGAAGAUAGGACCGAACCAUCUUCUCUUCUCAGUAUCAUGCCUGCCGCAGUUGUGCCAUCUGCUGAAAAGAAGGAACCAUCAACCGAUAAUGCGACGUAGCCAGCCGGCGGCCGAGGCCAAUGUAGGCGUUGUGCAGGCGCAACACUCUCUUGGACGUGGACCAACUCACAUGCACGCAUCUUGCCUUUAACAAUUUAUUACUCCAGUCUAUACUUGUGAGAGUAAACAAGGGACUUCAAAAAGCUAUCAAGGAAUUCUAUUGUAGCCACCAUUCGAGGCUUCUCUUUGCCAUGACACAAGUCAUUCUGCAUCUGCCAAAUGCACCAAAUCAACAUAAUCACCAUGUCUCGCAUGGUUGCUAUGCAAUUCAUUAGAACAUUCAGCAGCCAAUUAGUCCCACUGUGGCACUGUCUACUAACAGUGUUAGAAUUAAUGGGCUAGGCCCAUAGCAAUUUCUGAAAUCUCAAAGCCCAUGUGUAAAAUGGCAAGUGGUGGUGCUAAGUUUAGUCCCACCUUGAAAGUUGAAGAAGAGUUGGACCUCUUUAUAUAGUGGGUUCUCUCCACCACUCUAAGUGGUGUGUGAGAAGAGAAAGGGAAAACCACACGCGCGCGCUCGCUCGCCUGGCUUGGCCUGGCCUGGCCAGCGCGUGAAUGGUCCGCCGAAAUCCGGUCCGUCUCCUUGCAGGAGCGCAGCUUCCUUUUGCCGUUUUAUUUUUAUGUCUUGGCAGACAAGUUUUUGAUUUCUUGUCCGGUAAGUAUACGAAUUAGAAACCGAGUCGGUUAGGGAUUGUGGUCAAUACCGCCUCUGGUCCUAAUAUAUAUACAGCUACCGGUUGCGGCCAGAGACACACCGAAAAACACCUAGGGUUUUGCCUCAUCUCACAACUUGCGCCGCCAUCGUAGUCUACUCCAUCCCAAACGCCGGCGUGCAUCGGCGCGUGGGAGAGCAGGUCUCCGGAACCGUUCGUCUUUGCGAUCCUGCACCGGGAGAGGACGAAUUAGGUUUUUGGGAAGCGCUGUGCGCGACUGCUCAAAUUCGUCAUCACGGGUCGUCUUCCGUCCAAGUCGGGCGGUGCUACUCAUCGUCGUAUUCAUCGCCGUCAGCAGCAGAUCGUCGCCAACAUCGCCAUCAACACUGUCGCACCCAUAAUAGCUGACGAUCAGUACGUCCAACAUCCUCUGUUCAUGUCUGUUUCUACAGCUAUUGUUACGUGUUUGCUGCUGUUAUGCAUGUCUUGCUGUUCUUCUAGUUUGCUAGAUUAUUGCAUGCUAGUAUCUCUUCUAGUCAUGAAUUAUUUACUGGAAUUAAUCAUGAACUUGCCUAAUAUUCCAACAAUCCAAAAACCUAAUUAUAGGCAAUUUCCUGAGUUAACUAUGGCUGGAUUCGCUGAUGCACUGAGGCUGGAUAAGUUUACCAGUGUGCACUUUAAGAGGUGGUAGGUGAAGACCACGCUCUGGCUUACUGCUCUGAAAGUUUUCCACGCUAGUGUUGGUGCUCCAGAGGGAAUGACCGACGAAGAUCGGAGAAAAUUCCAGGAAGCCAAUACUAUGUUUGUGGGAUGCAUUCUGAGUGUUCUUGCUGACCAUUUGUGUGAUGUGUACAUGCACAUAAACGACUGAAAAAUUCUGUGGGAUGCACUGAAUGCAAAAUUCGGUGCAACAGAUGCAGGCAGUGAACUGUACAUCAUGGAGAGUUUUCAUGACUACAAGAUGGUGAAUAACCGUUCUGUGGUUGAACAAGCUCAUGAGAUACAGUGCAUUGUGAAGGAACUUGAACUCCUUAAAUGUGUUCUACCCGACAAAUUCGUGGCUGGGUGCAUGAUUGCAAAGUUGCCUCCUUCAUGGAGGAAUUUCGCCACAACUCUGAAGCAUAAGAGACAGGAGAUAUCAGUUGAAAAUCUGAUUGCAUCUCUUGAUGUUGAAGAAAAAGCUCGGGCUAAAGAUACCACUGAAAAAGGAGGUGAGGUUCAGCCUACUGCUAACAUGGUGCAGAGGUACCCACAGAACAAGAACAAAGGGAAGAACAAACCUGUUUUCAACAAGCCUGCCAAGACUACUACCUUCAAGAAGAAGAAGUUCAACAAGGCUGAGCUAGAGUGCUACGCCUGUGGGAAGCCUGGACACUUUUCCAAGGAAUGCCCUGAACGUGCAGACCGCAGAGGGAAAACAAGCUCCAAGACUGUCAACAUGGUGACCGCUAGCAAUACUGAUGGGUAUGGUAAUUUACCUAUUGUGCUUUCAGUAUUUCAAUCAUCUUCGUGGUGGAUUGAUUCGGGUGCUAACGUUCAUGUGUGUGCUGACAUCUCCCUGUUUACUUCUUAUCAGGUCGCAAGGGAUUCUUCCGUCCUAAUGGGGAAUGGGUCACAUGCUUCUGUUCGUGGCAUUGGCACGGUGGAUCUGAAGUUUACUUCGGGAAAGAUCGUGCAACUAAGGAACGUGCAGCAUGUCCCUACUAUGAACAAGAAUCUAGUUAGCGGCUCCCUUCUAUGUCGAGAUGGAUUUAAGGUAGUUUUAGAGUCCAAUAAAGUAAUUGUGUCAAGAUUUGGACAAUUUAUAGGAAAAGGCUAUGAGUGCGGAGGCUUGUUCGCUUUUCUCUUUCAGAUUUUUGCAAUAAGUCAAUAAACCAAAUUUGUGCUAGUGUUAAUGAUGAUGCAAGUAUUUGGCACUCUCGUUUAUGUCAUAUUAAUUUUGGUUUAAUGUCUCGGCUAUCCAGCUGAGUUUAAUUCCGAACUUCACAGUUGCCAAAGGUUCUAAGUGCCAUAGUUGUGUGCAAUCUAAGCAACCUCGAAAGCCUCAUGCCGAGGAGAGAAACUUGGCACCUCUAGAACUCAUACAUUCUGAUCUUUGUGAGAUGAAUGGUGUGUUGACAAAAGGUGGAAAGAGAUAUUUCAUGACUUUGAUUGAUGAUGCGACUAGAUUUUGCUAUGUUUAUUUGUUGCAAACUAAAGAUGAAGCAUUAGACUACUUUAAAAUCUAUAAAGCUGAAGUUGAAAAUCAACUAGAGAGAAAGAUCAAGCGUCUUAGGUCCGAUCGUGGUGGAGAGUAUUUUCUAGAAGUUUUUGAUGAAUUUUGUGAGGAACAUGGUAUUAUUCAUGAGAGGACGCCUCCCUAUUCACCUCAAUCAAAUGGAGUGGCCGAGAGGAAAAACCGCACAUUGACUGACUUGGUGAAUGCCAUGUUAGACACUGCUGGUUUAUCUAAGGCAUGGUGGGGGGGAGGCUCUAUUGACUUCAUGUCAUGUCCUGAAUAGAGUUCCCAACAAUAAUAAAGAGAAAACCCCUUAUGAGGAGUGGGUUGGGAGAAAACCAUCACUUUCUUAUUUGCGCACUUGGGGAUGUUUGGCAAAGGUCAAUAUUCCUAUUCCUAAGAAACGCAAACUUGGACCAAAGACAGUGGAUUGUGUCUUUCUAGGGUAUGCUCAACGGAGCAUUGCUUAUAGGUUUUUAGUGGUAAAAUCUGAAGUACCUGAUAUGCAUGUUGAUACUAUAAUGGAAUCUCGUGAUGCAACAUUUUUUGAGAACAUAUUUCCUAUGAAAGAUAUGCAUAGCAUUGCUAGAUUUUCUUCUGAGAUAAUUCCUGAAUCUAGUACAACUGAUGAAUAUUUCGAACAAUCACAUGAGGAAGUCCUUGAGAAGGAUAACAAUGAAGUUCCUAGAAGGAACAAGAGACAAAGGAUUGCAAAAUCCUUUGGUGAUGAUUUCAUUGUAUACCUUGUGGACGACACACCCAAGACGAUUGCAGAAGCAUAUGCAUCUCCGGAUGUAGAUGAUUGGAAAGAAGCUGUUCAUAAUGAGAUGGACUCAAUUCUUUCUAAUGGAACUUGGGAACUAACUGAUAGACCAUAUGGUUGUAAACCUGUGGGCUGUAAGUGGGUGUUCAAAAAGAAGCUAAAGCCUGAUGGUACUAUUGAUAAGUACAAGACAUGGCUAGUGGCCAAGGGCUACACUCAGAAAGAAGGCGAAGAUUACUUUGACACCUAUUUACCCGUUGCUAGAAUGACCACCAUUCGAGUGUUACUUUCCUUGGCUGCCUCUUAUGGUCUUAUCAUUCAUCAAAUGGAUGUAAAGACAGCUUUUCUCAAUGGAGAGUUGGAAGAGGAGAUCUAUAUGGAUCAGCCUGACGGGUUUGUGGUAAAGAGUGAAGAGAGAAAGGUGUGCAAGUUGUUAAAAUCUUUGUAUGGUCUGAAACAGGCACCUAAGCAAUGGCAUGAGAAGUUUGAAAGAACUUUGACUUCUGCAGGAUUUGUCAUUAACAAGGCUGAUAGGUGUGUUUACUAUCGCCAUGGUGGGGGCAAUAGUGUCAUAUUAUGUUUGUAUGUGGACGACAUACUGAUCUUUGGUACAAACAUUAAUGCAAUUAAUGAGGUCAAGUCUUUUCUAUCAAAAAGUUUUGACAUGAAAGAUCUGGGAGAAGCCGAUGUAAUUCUAAACAUCAAACUUAUUAAGGAUGAGAGUGGGAUUACAUUAACGCAAUCUCACUAUGUUGAGAAGGUCUUGAACCGAUUCGGUUUUAUGGAUAGCAAGCCUUCUCCAACACCUUAUGAUCCCAGCGUGACACUCAGAAAGAACAAGAAAGAAACGAGAGAUCAAUUAAGAUACUCUCAAAUUGUCGGUUCACUCAUGUACUUAGCUAGCGCUACAAGACCAGAUAUCUCUUUUGCUGUGAGCAAACUGAGUAGGUUCAUGUCCAACCCGGGUGAUGAUCAUUGGCAUGCACUAGAAAGGGUCUUGCGCUAUCUGAGAGGUACUAUGAGUUACGGAAUUACUUAUUCAGGGCAUCCUGCUAUGCUAGAAGGAUAUAGUGAUUCAAAUUGGAUCUCCGAUGUUGAUGUACUUUACGCAACAAGUGGGUAUGUAUUUACUCAUGGUGGUGGCGCAGUGUCAUGGAGGUCUUGCAAGCAAACCAUAUUGAGGAGGUCAACUAUGGAAGCAGAAUUAACUGCUUUGGACACAGCUACUGUUGAGGCAGAAUGGCUGCGUGAGCUCUUGAUGGACUUGCCGGUUGUUGAAAAACCUGUACCGGCUAUUCUUAUGAAUUGUGAUAACCAAACGGUUAUCGCUAAAGUGAACAAUUCUAAAGAUAAUGCAAAGUCAUCAAGACACGUGAAAAGACAUUUGAAGUCUAUCAGGAAGUUGAGAAACUCCGGAGUAAUAACUGUUACGUAUAUACAAACAGACAAAAACCUGGCAGAUCCCUUUACAAAGGGACUAUCACGAAAUGUGAUAGAUAUUGCAUCAAGGGAGAUGGGUAUGAGACCCAUAGAUGUUACACCAUAGUAGUAACCCAACCUUUGUGAUCGGAGAUCCCGUGAAUUAGGAUCUGGGAAGAACAAGCUAUUGGUUAACUGAGGAGAGUAAUAACUUAUGAUCGUCUCCAAGUGAAGAUGCAAAACUCUCAGAGCUGAUAAGGCAGGUCGGCAACAUGCCUUAAUGUGGUUCUAUUGGCUAUAAUUAGCAAAGAUGCUGUCCUACGGAGCAGUCUUGAAAGAACACACCUAUAUGAGUUCUGACUGUAAACGUCGCAGUCUAUGAGAUUUGGAUGAUCUCUAGUAAACUCACGAAGAGACCAGGGAGUAUGACGUAUAAGCUCCAAACUGCGGGGUAGCCUACUGGCGGUCAGGUACUGGUUAAGACUUUGAGUGAAACCUGUUCACACAAAACUAGCAAUUCAAGACAUAGUCCAUUGUCAAGUUGUGAAUGGAUGUAGCUUAAAGUUCUAGGCAGAAGUUCAACUUAACAGUCUCUGCUAAAACACUGGUAUAUUAAACAAGUGGUGAGAGAAGGAAAAUCUCUAAGUGGGUAUUUGAGAUCUGGUGGGGGAUUGUUAGAAUUAAUGGGCUAGGCCCAUAGCAAUUUCUGAAAUCUCAAAGCCCAUGUGUAAAAUGGCAAGUGGUGGUGCUAAGUUUAGUCCCACCUUGGAAGUUGAAGAAGAGUUGGACCUCUUUAUAUAGUGGGUUCUCUCCACCACUCUAAGUGGUGUGUGAGAAGAGAAAGGGAAAACCACACGCGCGCGCUCGCUCGCCUCGCCUGGCCUGGCCUGGCGUGGCGAGGCGAGGCGAGGCGUACAUGCGACAUGCGCGUGAAUGGUCCGCCGAAAUCCGGUCCGUCUCCUUGCAGGAGCGCAGCUUCCUUUUGCCGUUUUAUUUUUAUGACUUGGCAGACAAGUUUUUGAUUUCUUGUCCAGUAAGUAUACGAAUUAGAAACCGAGUCGGUUUGGGAUUGUGGUCGUGACACAAUACCGCCUCUGGUCCUAAUAUAUAUACAGCUACCGGCUGCGGCCAGAGACACACCAAAAAACACCUAGGGUUUUGCCUCAUCUCACAACUUGCGCCGCCAUCGUAGUCUACUCCAUCCCAAACGCCGGCGUGCAUCGGCGCGUGGGAGAGCAGGUCUCCGGAACCGUUCGUCUUUGCGAUCCUGCACCGGGAGAGGACGAAUUAGGUUUUUGGGAAGCGCUGUGCGCGACUGCUCAAAUUCGUCAUCACGGGUUGUCUUCCGUCCAAGUCGGGCGGUGCUACUCAUCGUCGUAUUCAUCGCCGUUAGCAGCAGAUCGUCGCCAACAUCGCCAUCAACACUGUCGCACCCAUAAUAGCUAACGAUCAGUACGUCCAACAUCCUCUGUUCAUGUCUGUUUCUACAGCUAUUGUUACGUGUUUGCUGCUGUUAUGCAUGUCUUGCUGUUCUUCUAGUUUGCUAGAUUAUUGCAUGCUAGUAUCUCUUCUAGUCAUGAAUUAUUUACUGGAAUUAAUCAUGAACUUGCCUAAUAUUCCAACAAACAGUACAUCACGGGGCAAGGGCCAUAUAGCGCGCAUGUGCUCCCGAAUAUUUCGAGCAUGGCUGCAGGAAACCAAUGCAUGGAAUGAAUUUUCAUCUUCGAUACCGCACAGCGUACAUGUUUGAUAACCCAUAAGUAUAGGAAUUAAUUAUAGACUUUUUCGAUAAGUAAGAGUGUUGAACCCAAUGAGGAGCUAAAGCUAGAAUUAAUAUUCUCAAGUUCUAUCGACCACCGAUACAACUCUACACACACUUAACGUUUGCUUUACCUAGAAUAAUAAUAAAAAUACUUUACAGGUGUAAUAGGAUAAGUUUGCAAGAAUAAAACUAGAAGCAUUUAGCGGGUAAUAAAAGUUAGUUUGUUUUAGUAGAGAGUAUUUUGUAACACAAAGAGAAAGAUUGUCCAUAGGGAAUUGAAUAUAACACGAUAGAUACUUAUCAUACGCAAUGAGGGAGAGGCAUGAGCUAACAUACUUUACCUACUCGGAUCACAUGUUCUUAUGAUUCUAACUCUAGCAAGCAUCUGCAACUACUAAAAAUCAUUAAGGUAAAACCCAACCAUAGCAUUAAGUAACAAAUCCUCUUUACUCUCAUACGCAACAACCCCCUUAUUCGGGUUUAAGCUUCUGUCACUCACACAACCCACUAUAAGUGAAUCAUGAACGUAUUGCAACAUCCUACAAUGGUAAUCUCACACGAUUACGCGACACGGAGGGCAUCAUAGGACAGCACCAUAUUGACAUACAGCUCACAUCAAUCGCACCAUACAACAAUUAACCCGUAGGACAAAAGAAAUCUACUCAAACAUUAUAUGAUUGCCACACAUCAUUGGACAAUAACAUAUAGCAUUCAGCACCAUAUUCAAGUAGAGAAUUACAGCGGGAAUAGAGGGGUUACACCGCUGCAUAGAGGGGGAGAGGAUUUGUGAUGACGGCGACGAAGUUAUUGAUGUAGAUCACCGUCACGAUGGUUUCCCCAGUGGCGCUCUGGCGCCACCGGAAGAAGGGGGAGACCCCCCCUUCUGCUUACUUAGCCUCCCCCUAGAUGGCAGGAGGGAUUUCCCUCUGGUCCAUGGCCGCCGUGGCUCCCAGUGGGCAGGAGCCCCUCCGAGAUUGGGUCUCUCUCUGUGUUUCUCUUCUAAUUUUUGUUUGUUUAUGGAUGCCUUCACCGUUUUUUAUAUUCCCGGAGAUCCGUUACUCCGAUUGGGCUGAAAUUUAAGGGGAUUUUUGUUAGGAAAUUGUCUUUCUUUCAACGAAAGAAGGGCUCGAACCGAUGUACGAGGGAGUCACAAGGCAACACGGCGCGCCCUAUGGAUCCCUCAGGUAUCGUCUUGCGUUGAUUCCUCUUCCCAAUCCUUCAAACUAUGCAUAAGUGCUUGUAGCGAGUCUGCUACGUAGGAGGACAGUGGUAUCUCUAGCCCACUAGGGUUCAAGUCCAGAUAAUCGCAUUUGUCAUGGAUUUAUUCAGGAUUUCUGGUGAUGCGCGUUCAGUGGGAGGAGACGUUCUCAUUGACUACGAGGCGUCUACGAUGACUUCGUAAAAUCUCAAGAUGAUAUGCAGGUCAGUCUCCCGGAUGUGCUCAUAAGGAUAGGAUGUGUGUUUGUGCGUUCAUAGGGGUGAGUGUAUGCGCGUAUAUAUGAGUGCUUAUGUCUGUACUGUGUUAAAACAAGUACUUAUCGCCGACCGACUAUAGCAGUACCACAACACGCGCUCGUAGCGCUGACGGUUCAAUCUGUCGAUUGUACAAUGUGCGGGUCAUUCCGUGCUCAAGUCUGCAUAGAUCGCACAUGCUCGUCACACAGUACAGUACCAUAGGAUCCACAUCGCGGUUUCCCAGCAUUCCAAUUCUAUGGUCUCGUCGAUUAUUUCCUACUUUAUGUGUGAUCAAGAAAUAGCACGUACAGGGGCCUUCGCACCCAACACACACAGUAGUAUAGCAUGUUCUUUCACAUGUUUUACCAUUAAAAGAAAUCAUUUGGUUCGAUCGAUCACAAGCCCCUGCCGCUGAACAGCAAAGCGACUAACACAUGCAACAAAUCACCAAACUCCAAUUUAUUAUUAUACACCAAAGGCACACACAAGUUUAACCGAAGAACGAUACUAAAACCUCAGUCUGAUAGGUGGAUCACCAAAGGAGAAUCAACGCAUCCAGAAGUAAGGCCAACAUAGGAGAGGUGCACCACGCCAGGGACAUAGCCAGUCGAGGAAAUUCAGCCAGUGAUCCUCAGAAGAACACCGGACAACGCCACCCCCACGCUGCAUGGUAGGCUUCACAUGCCACCUACUCCAUGACUUUUGCUCCUAGCGUCAACACCCUUUGAUUUCCCUCCUUUUAUCUGCAAAAUUGCCCAAUCUGUUUGCCACUGACAUAUCAACCUGAUAAGCAUAAUUAGAACAUUUAUCAGCUUCUUUUUCCAAAAACAACAACCGUUUCUGCAUCUCAAUAUUGUCCAAAAGAUAGCAGCGACACCAAGUAACACCCGUUUUUUGGUUACAUCAUGUUGAUUUUUUUAAUCCAUCCACUAAAGCACAUAACUAGAUUAGCAGGAUGGAUCUCAAAUUUAAAGCAUAUUUAAGAAAAUCCCACACUAGUUUAUUUUGCUCUCAUCUUGACCAUAAAACACACAGUUUUUUGGGAUCUAUCCAGCCACUUUUCAAUAAAUAGUCUCUAGGUUAUGCUAUUUUGACCAUCAACCAAAGAAAGACUUUGAUUUUUGUUGGAAAUUUAUUGUUUCUUAAAAAAAUUGUGGCAAACCACAAUAUUGAACAACAAGGUGUCUAUAAAGUGAUUUGACUAUAAAAAGACCAUAUGCAAUUAACAGACACUUAAUAGCAUCCUUGUUGUGAGACAUCACAUUCCAUCAGAUCUCAUUUUGAGGCUAUCCCAAAGAGCUAGAGUAUCACCUCACAAAGUUCUUCUAAAUCUAAAACCCUCCCAACUUCUCUACAAGGCAUCAGCUGCAGUAAUAUAUAAUCAUAACUCAAAUUAUACAAUAUAGCAUAAGAGAUUUUAAGGGGUUUAUAAUCCACCGACAGUCUUCCCAAAAAUCUAGCAUUCUUGCCAUUACCCACUUUUUUUUAUAAUAUUGAUAGAAUGUGUAUUUAAUUUUCAUGAUACAAGACCAAAAAUGGGAGUCCCCAGUCUUAGGUUUAGUUCCAAAAAGGCAAGCAUUCCAAACAUGCUUGUUCAGGAGAAACAUUUGUCAAAUACCAUUUUUAGUUUCUACCAUAACUAUUUAGCAGACAAGUUUUGUUCAUGAGUUCAAGAUAUAAAAUCCCUAAAUCCCCUUAAUCUUUAGGUCUAAAUCAGGUUUUCCAGUUUAGCAAGUGUUAUUUUUCCUUAUUGUCAUUUCCCUGCCAAACAAACAUAGCCAUGAAGAAAUUGGAUCUUUUCUUCACAUCAACUGGGAUGGGGUAGAAAAACAUCAUACAUAAGUUUAAUCUCCCCCUCUAUUGUUAAAUCUUCUCUCGUAGUGAUAGUUGUUAAAUCUCCCCCCUUUUGUUGAGACUACCUUGCAUGCCUGCACCACCAUAAGACCAAGCCAUCCCUUCUUGUUCACCAGGUGGCGGCGGCGGAGCAGUAAAGCCUUACCACAUAUCACUUUCAUGCACACCAAAUUCUUUUAAGGGGCGGACCAAAGCAUCUAUAUACCCAAAGGUAGCAGAAGGCGCAUUCUCCUUAAGGGCUUUCCUAUCCCACCAACCUGGACCUCCUAGAUCAAAAACAUCCAGUCCAACCGCCCCCUACUACAGAAGAUUCUAUGGGUAAAGGCCAAAACCCUAAAACUCACCCCCUCCUUGCUCAAUAUUUAUCAUCACAACAUCAAUGUAAUAUAAGAAAUUCACCCCAAAAACAAGCACAUCCUUUGUACAAUUGGCAAGGAUAGCUGGAAAAUUACCAAUUCUUGUAGCCUUUUUGACUAGAUUUCCACCAGUAACAUCUAAAUUCCAUUUAAUCACUAUAUCAUCACAAAUUUUGAUAUUGUGGGUAUCAACAUCGGAAAGAUCCAAGGACAAAUAAUUCUCAUAACAGUAUUAUAUUCAAAAUCAUUGACAUGAUCAACUUCCAUCAAAAAAUCCACCGAAGACUUUUCGGAGGAUGCAACUAAGAUCUCCUAACCAUAUUUCUCACAACUAAAAUCCCCCCACUGUUAGUUUGUACAUGAGGAUGUAAAUAUUUGUAGAGAUCAAAAAUCUUACUGGAAAAUGAAGCAACAAAAUGAUCGUAGGAGUCCUCGACUCCUCCCCGGCAGCAGCCAUAAUUGACUGCCUGCCAGGAAGACGCCUACUCGCCGGCGGCGCUCUGUGCAAGCGCCAGGAUCCACACAGAUGCCCGGGGAACCAAGGGGAGUGACGAGGUAGCUGUGAAACCAUCUACGCCACAUUUUGCCUCGGCACCACCCGCACAUUGUCGUCGGUCACGACGAGCAUCACCGGACAGCGUGGCGGCGACCUAGUCAUCGUGGUCACCACACACACACACACCAUCCCAGACUGGAUUGGACGAAAUCCAGUCGUACGAAGCGUAGCGAUACCACCGCGUGCGCCGCACCGGAUCAUUGGAUUCUGCCUCGAUCAUUGCCCAAUAGAGGAUCUCGAGCGGGGCCUUCCCUUAGAUCCAACUUUGCUCCUCCUUCGAGGCAUCUUCAACCAACCGAUGUGAUUCCUGAUGCAUCUCCUCCGCAUCCCUAUACUGCCCACAGAUCUCGCGGUGCCUCGCCAUCUUCGCCUCGUCACUGCUCGUGAUUGCCGCUGCCAUGUGCUCCCUCCACGCCAAAGGCCCUUUGAACCGAGAUCUAAGACGGUGGUUGGAGGGGGAGAAGCAGGGGAUCACCGACACCCUCGUGCCUCGCGUGUAGAUUUAAUGCUUGCCAAAGUCGUAGGUAUUCAUUGCCCACAUCAGGGGUUCCUCGACAUCAGUGUGGGAUCAACGCCGUUGUUUUUUUGGAAAUUAUUAUAUUCUGGAUCUUGAGAAAUCAUCUAUUAGGGGCCAUCCUAUCAAGAUCCCAGUGCCCAAGUUAUACUCCACUAAAACUUGAAUUGGCAUCUGUCCAUCCACGGAACAAGCACAAGUCCAACAAGAUUACACCAAACGUGACGCUGUAUCACUUUCAGUUUCACACAAACGCUGUCGUGGGGAAGCGAAGAAAUUGUUGGUAAAAUGAGGCAAGGACACUGUGGUAAAGGAUGUCCGGUCCAGGUCUUGUCCGCCGCCCGCCGCACCGGAAACGCACCAUCCAGCACCCAACGUGUGCCCUAGCCGCCGAACGGGUCAGACCAACAGUCACCUUACAAGCCGACCCCACUCGUAGCCACACACAGCAUGCCCUUAUUAACCCCGUGCACACCAGAACCAAUUCGAUCAUCUCCUCAUCGUCAACCUCGCCGCGUACCUCCCUCCACUCAGUGUAAUAAAAAGUUAAAACCCAUCCCUCUAGACAUUUCCCCAGUCCAUCCACCGGCGCCACCGCAUUGAGCCCUGGCCACGCAUGGAGCUAUCCGUGCACACCAAGCAAAUUCUCCUUCCAGUUUGUACCUUUAUGACAGCAACUAACCUCUUUUCGUCGAGCUUUUCACUACUGAAGUUCUCUAUUUAUAACCUGAAUUAUGAGUAGACUUUCCACCACCAUCACCAUGACCAUGCUUAUAUAAACCACAAUGGCAGAUGUAGAGAAGGAUGGAUGGAUGGUCAGGUGCCUAGCUAUAUGCAUAAGUGCUCGCAGCGAGUCCGCUACGCAGGAGGACAGUGGUAUUGAGGGAGUCCUGUAUUCGGGGGUCCUCAGGUGUCCGGCCUAUUCGAUAUGGGCCGGGCUGAUGGGUCAUGAAGACGAAGCAGAAGACUGCCUCCCGUGUCCGUGUAGGACUCCUAUGUGCGUAGAACGGCAAGUUUGGUGUCCGGAUGUAAUACUCUUUGCCUCUGAACCGACUUUGUAUAACCCUAAGUCCCUUCGGUGUGUAUAUAAACCAGAGGAGUUUGUCCGCAGAGGGCAUCAGAAUAAUCAUAGGCUAUAUAGCUACGGUUUGGCCAUUACGAUCUUGAGGUAGAUCAACUCUUGUAACCCCUAUACUCAUCGAAUACAAUCAAGCAGGACGUAGAGUUUUACCUCCUUUGAGAGGGCCCGAACCUGGGUAAACACCAUGUCCCAUUGUCGCUUGUUACCAUUGAUCCUUAGACUCGCACCUUGGGCCCCCUUACCCGAGAUCUGCCGGUUUUGACACCGACAAUGGUGCUUUCAUUGAGAGCUCUGCUGUUUAAUGCCGCUCAUGACGAUACCAUUUGCCCGCUCUACCUGGCCGUUUGUUUGGGGAUGGUAGACGGAAGCGUAAUCAAGCUAAUACCCAUUUUUGUGCACCAAGUUUUCACUUCGUCGGCUGUGAAAUUUGAGCCAUUAUCAGUGAUGAUGCUGUGGGGGACACCGUAUCGGUGUAUGACCCCGGAUAUGAAGUCUAUUACUGGUCCGGAUUCGGCCGUUUUGACUGGUUUGGCUUCUAUCCAUUUGGUGAAUUUGUCCACCAUGACCAAUAAGUAUUUUUUUCUUAUGGCUUCCCCUUUUAAGAGGCCCGACCAUAUCCAGCCCCUAGACCGCAAAGGGCCAAGUUAUGGGAUUGUUUGGAGAGCGGUAGGGGGCAUAUGACUCUGACUAGCAAAGAGCUGGCAACCAAUGCAAUGUUGGACAAGGUCCUGUGCGUUUGGUCGGGUCGUCGGCCAGUAGAAAUCUAUACGGAAGGCCUUGCUGACUAAUGCUCGAGCUGCGGCGUGGUGCCCGCCCAGUCCGACAUGGAUUUCAGCCAAGAGCUGCCGCCCUUCCUCUUUGGAGAUGCAUCUUUGGAGUACUCCGGUAGCGCUUUUCUUGUAGAGUUCCCCUUCAUAUACUUUGUAGGCUUUAGAGCGCCGGACGAUGCAACGUGCUUCAUUUUGGUCUUCGGGGAGCUCCUGCCUAUUUAGGUAGGCCAAGAAAGGCUCGGUCCACGGGGCGAUUACAACCAUGAUUUCAUGGGCCGAGGACGUUAUUUCGGUGGUAGAACCUCCGACUAUGUCUGAUAGUUUGGAAUCUGGGGGUGUAUCCGGAUCCGUGCUAGUGUUGCCGGACUCCCCUUCCCAUACGACGGAUGGCUUGAACAGCCGUUCCAAGAAAAUGUUCGGUGGGACAGGGUCGCGUUUAGCGCCGAUGCGAGCGAGGACGUCCGCCGCUUGAUUGUUUUCUCGAGCCACAUGGUGGAAUUCAAGCCCCUCGAACCGAGCUGACAUCUUGAGGACGGCAUUACGGUAGGCCGCCAUUUUCGGGUCCUUGGCAUCAAAAUCUCCAUUUAUUUGUGAUAUUGCGAGGUUUGAAUCCCCGCGCACUUCUAGGCAUUGAAUGCCCAUAGAGACUGCCAUCCGGAGACCGUGCAACAGAGCCUCAUAUUCGGCUGCAUUGUUCGAGUCCGUGUAUAAUAUUUGGAGGACGUACUGGACCGUGUCUUCGGUGGGAGACGUCAGGACUACACCUGCUCCCAAUCUGGCCAGCAUUUUAGAGGCGUCGAAGUGCAUGAUCCAGUUUGAGUAUGCGUUGUACUCUUUAGGGAGUUCGGCUUCUGUCCAUUCGGCAACGAAGUCAGCCAGUACUUGCGACUUGAUGGCCCGUCGUGGUUUGUAUGUUAUGUCGAACGGAAGGAGCUCAAUGGCCCAUUUUGCAAUCUGGCCCGUAGCAUUGCGGUUAUUUAUUAUGUCAUUGAGCGGUACUUCGGAGGCCACCAUAAUCGAACACUCUUGAAAGUAGUGUCGUAGCUUCCGGGAUGCCAUGAAAACCGCGUAUGUUAUUUUUUGAUAGUGUGGGUAUCGGGAUUUGCAUGGGGUUAGGACCGUGGAUACGUAGUAAACCGGCUUCUGGAGCGGGUAUUUGUAUCCGUCAGCCUCUCGUUCAACGACGAGCACUGCGCUUACAACUUGAUGCGUUGCAGCUAUGUAUAGCAGCAUAGGUUCGUCGAUAUUCGGCGCUGUUAGUACUGGAUUACUGUCCAAUAAGGUCUUUAUUUCAUCCAGUCCGGCCGCGGAUGCAUCCGUCCACACGAAGUGUUCGGUGCGCCGAAGAAGGCGGUAAAGAGGUAAUGCCUUUUCUCCUAACCUGGAGAUAAAGCGGCUUAGAGCAGCCACGCAUCCGGCUAGUUUCUGGAUGUGCUUGAGGUCUGUUGGUAUAGCCAACUGUGACAGAGCUCGGAUUUUCUGGAUUCGUUUCAAUUCCUCUAUUGGAAACGAUGAAGCCGAGUAGUUUCCCCGUGGGGACGCCAAAAACGCAUUUUUUUGGGUUCAGCUUGAUGUCGUAUGUCCGGAGAUUGUUGAAUGUAAGCCUCAAGUCAUCUAUUAGGGUUUCGACGUGCCUUGUUUUUAUGACCACGUCAUCCAUGUAUGCCUCCACUGUUUUGCCGAUUUACUUUUCCAGGCAUGUUUGAAUCAUGUGUUGGUAGGUUGCACCGGCGUUCUUGAGCUCGAAAGGCAUCGUGUUAAAGCAAAAAGGGCCAUAUGGCGUUAUGAAAGUUGUUGCAGCUUGGUCAGACUCUGCCAUCUUUAUUUGAUGGUAUCUAGAGUAUGCGUCGAGGAAACACAGUGAGUCGUGUCCCGCUGUGGCAUCAAUGAUUUGAUCAAUGCGAGGGAGGGGAAAGGGAUCCUUGGGGCAAGCCUUGUUGAGGUCUUUAAAGUCGACACAUAGGCGCCAGGAUUUGUCCUUCUUUGGUACAAUUACCAGGUUUGCCAGCCAAUCCGGAUGCUUGCUAUCUCUGAUGAAUCUGGCCUCGGGUAGUUUGGCUAGUUCUUCCCCCAUGGCCUACCGUUUGGGCUCUGAAAACCGUCUUAGAGUCUGCUUGACCGGUUUGUAUCGUUUUAGUAUAUUGAGGCUGUGUUCGGCCAAUCUGCGUGGGAUGCCUGGCAUGUCCGAUGGGUGCCAGGCGAAGAUGUCCCAAUUCUCGCGUAAGAAGUCUCGCAGUGCGGCGUCCAUCGCGGGGCUCAGUUGUGUCCCAACGGAAGCUGUCUUCGUGGGGUCCGUUGGAUGGACUUGGAAUUUGACUAUCUCGUCUGCGGGUUUAAAUGAGGUCGACUUGGGUCGCUUGUCGAGUAUCACGUCGUCCCUGUCCAUGGUGGCCCGCAGUCUUGUUAAUUCUUCGGCUGCUAGGGCCUCGGAUAAUGCCUCCAGGGCUAUUGCUGCGGUUUUGUUUUCGGCGUGAAGUGCGACGUCCGGAUCACUGGCUAGAGUGAUGAUUCCAUUGGGCUCGGGCAUUUUAAGCUUCAUACCCGUAAUGGGGUAUAGCUUGAAAGCUUGUAAGCGCGUCCCGCCCUAAAAGGGCGUGGUAUCCGCCGCUAAAAGCGGCCACUUGGAAUGUGAUUUCUUCUGACCUAUAAUUAUCCGGGGUGCCGAAUACCACGUCAAGUGUGAUUUUUCCCGCACACCGUGCUUCCCGACUAGGGAUAAUUCCCCUGAAGGUUGUGCCGCUUUUUUCAAUGUGGCCUUUGUCAAUUUCCAUCUUGCUGAGUGUCUCUUCAUAGAUCAGAAUCAACCCGCUUCCGCCAUCCAUGAGCACUUUAGUGAGCCGAAAGCCGUCCACGAUUGGGCUAAGAACCAGAGCGCCUGGUGCACGGACAGUCCGGAAUCUAGGUUCGUCACUGGCGUUGUAAGUUAUAGCAGUGUCGUUCCAGGGGUUCAUUUUGGCCGUAUGGCAAAUUUCCAUGGAGCUUUGAUGAGCUUGCUUGCGCCUACUGUUUGAGGCAAAAGUCUCGGAGACUGUUAGUACCGUAUUGUGCUCAUUGGCGGGAUGUUGUUCUGUAAGAAGAUCCUCGCCACUUUUCGCAACCUGCCGGAGUAUCCAACAUGCCCUAAGGCUAUGAGUUGGUGUUGUGUCCGGAGUGCUGUGGAGUUUACAUGGCCCAUUGAGCCAUUUUUCCAAUACGGUUCCCCGCCCUGGGGUGGGCUUUGGUUUCUUGGGGAUUGGAUCGGACGACGUACGAGAGUUCGCCUGUUUAGUUCGGAAAAAGGUUUUGGUGAAAGCCAGAUUGUCCCAAAAUUCAGUUUGAGUUUUCCAGACGCUUUCCAUCGCACAGUACUUCUGUACUAUGAUUGCUAAGUCCGCAAAGCGUACUAUGUCACAGCGAUUUAUAGCAUUAAGGAUUCCUUUGUCCGUGCAGUUUUUGCAGAAGAGCGAGACUACGUCCUCCUCAUGGCAGUCCUCGACCUUGUUUAGCGCAAGGAGGAAUCUGGCCGAGUAAUGAUGUACUGUCUCCUGGGGCUCUUGCCCGCAGUGUGGUUAUAGCUGAAUCCGGAUUCUGAUCCGAUCUAGCACCCCGGGGCAUGGAAGCUUCCGAGUUCAACAGCUCGGGACUCAGGACGCUGCCCAAUUUUUCUAGCCCCGUGCCCGGUUCUAAGUCCAGGACCCGGGUCAUAUCCUCCCCCGGGCGAGUGUCCGGCUCUGGGACUCGGUGAUCCGGACAUAAUUCGUCCUCAAAAUAGAGGGAUACUCCUUGUGUGGUUCCUCCGAUACCACUAUCUCAUGGGUGGCCGGCGGGGAUUUAAUGUCCCUUUGCUCGGGUUUAAGCCCGAUCCGGUCAUUGUCCAUUACGACUCCCAAAGCGGCGAUGCAAUCCAAGAGCUCAUUAAGAGAAGAGAGCUCUAUCAGAUCCAUAUGUUCGGCGAGUUCCGAAUUGAUGUGAAGUUUAUGCGUGAUGACCCGAGAGGCCAUCGUCGGCACGACAUCCGAUGGGGUGGCCAUGACGAAGCCGCCUAGUUGGAGAGUUUGGCCUACAACCAGAGCUCCCCCCGCGGUAAUGUUGUCCCUCACAAUGAGACGAGUCAUCGAGCCUUGCAGGGACGACACAGAGGAACUCUCAAUGAAAGCAUGAAUGUCGGUGUCAAAACCGGUGGAUCUCGGGUAGGGGGUCCCGAUCUGUGCAUCAAGGCUGAUGGUAACAGGAAGCAAGGGACACAAAUGUUUACCCAGGUUCGGGCCCUCUCGAUGGAGGUAAAACCCUACUUCCUGCUUGAUUAAUAUUGAAGAUAUGGGUAGUACAAGAGUAGAUCUACCACGAGAUCUUAGAGGCUAAACCCUAGAAGCUAGCCUAUGAUGGUAUGAUUGUAAUCGUGAUCAGCCUUCUAAGGACCAACCUCUCCAGUUUAUAUAGACACCAGAGAGGGCUAGGGUUUACAUGGAGUCAAUUACAAGGAAGGAAAUAUAAUAUCCGGAUCGCCAAGCUUGCCUUCCACGCCAAGGAAAGUCCCAUCCGGACACGGGUCGAAGUCUUGAGUCUUGUAUCUUCACGCUUCAAUAGUCUGGACGAUGUAUACAGUCCGGCUGUCCGGAUACCCCCUAAUCCAGGACUCCCUCAGUGGGCCUUUAGCUGGGCCAGCCCAUUAUGGUCCGCAAAAUCUUGUGAGCCUUUAGCUGGGCCGGCCCAUUAUGGUCCACAAAACUUGUGGUCCUUUAAUUGGGCCGGCCCAAUUAAACUUGUUGGGUCAUGCCACGUGUCGACGUAUCAUACGCUUUCUGUCCAAUGAGUGGAUGACAUCUGUCCCAGCGGUGAGCCGACACGUGUUUCCUCGAGCCAAUGAUGAUUUUACAUGUGGAAAAUCCCCAUUGGUCGGGGUUGUUAACGGGUUAUCGGAUCCAAAACCCGACCCGGUAGCUUAAGGGUGUUCCGUUAUGGUGGAUGCCACAUGUCGGUCACCCUUGACGAAAGCACUUCUUUGACGCACGAUUUAUCGUCAUGGAAGUGGACACUUCCGUGAUGAUAAUUUUCGUAAUGUCAUGGAACACUUCUACGACAACACAGGUAUGACUAUCUUGAUUCUGUCAUAACUUUGUCAUGGAUGUACAUGCAUGACAAAAAACGCGACCUACUGUGACAAACACGUAUCAUCACGGAAGUGUAUUUUUUUGUAGUGUAUGUUGUCUCAACAUAGCCGGUCCCAAGCCCGGGUAAAGGAGGAGGGUUAUUUGCUCCUUUUCUAGCCCAGAAUUCUAGCUGCCGGCAUUCUCCCUCCUUAUGUAAAGCUUGUAAAAUAAGAGAGAAUAGACAUAAGUAUUGUGACAUAACGUGUAAUAACAGCCCAUAAUGCAAUAAAUAUCGACAUAAAAGCAUGAUGCAAAAUGGACAUAUAAGUGUUUUCUCCUCUCUAUCUUGUUGUGAUGAAUUGAGUAUUUCCCUUUGAGAUUUCGUUGUUAUCGGAUUGAAUACUUUUAUGGAUUUGAGAACACUUGAUAUAUGUCUUGCAAUUGAAUACUCAUGGUGACAAAUAGGGUAUCGUAUUGAUUCACAUGAUAUAUGUUUUGGCACUCAACUCGCGCAAUACCGAGGUGACCUUGGGGUAAUCUAUGCAUAAGGGUUGAUGCACGUUCUUGUCUUUGUUUCUUCGGUAGAAAUCUUGGGGCACUCUUUGAAGUUCUUUGUGUUAGAUUGAAUAUUAUGAAUAUGGAUUUGCUUUUGUGUUAUUUUAGUACGAACUCUAGGAUAGAUCGAACGGAAAGAAUAGCUUUGUGUUAUUUUAUUACGAACUCUUGAAUAGAUUGAACGGAAAGGAUAGCUUUGAGGUGGUUUCGUGCCCUACAAACAAUUUAUUCUUAUGUUCUCCGCUAGAUAGGAACUUUGGAUUGAUUCUCUGUCGCACUUUGAGGGGUGGUUAUAUGAUCCAAUUAUAUUAGCAUUGUUGAGAGAUUGCAAUAGCGAAACUACGGACCCUAGGCCUCAUUUUCAAGCAUUGCAAUACUGUUUUUGUGCCCGUUUACUAUUUGCUACCUUGCUGUUUUUAUUUAUUCAGAUUAUAAAAAUAUAUUUCUACCAUCCAUAUUACACUUUUAUCACCAUCUCUUCGCCGAACUAGUGCACCUAUACAAUUUGCCAUUGUAUUGGGUGUGUUGGGGACACACGAGAUUUCCUGUAUUUGCUUGCGGGGUCAUUUGAGAGAGACCAUGUUCAUUGUACACCUCUCACGGAUUGAUAAACCUUAAGUCAUCCACUUGAGGGAAAAUUGCUACUGUCCUACAAAACUCUGCGCUUGGAGGCCCAACACGUGUCUACAAGAAUAAAGUUGCGUAGUAGACAUCAAGCUCUUUUCUGGCGCCGUUGUCGGGGAGGUGAGUGCUUGAAGGUAUAUCUUUAGAUCUUGCAAUUGAAUCUUUUAGUUUCUUGUUUUAUCACUAGUUUUUUUUUAUAAAAAUAAAACUACAAAAAAUGGAAUUGAGGAAAAUUGUGCUCCACUGUUAGAAGAAGAAUUCUAUAAAAUGUUUGAAAAAAAAUCUUUGAAUGAUGAGCAUGAUUGCAAUGUUGUUGGUAUGAACUCUUUGAAUAUCCAUGAUGCUAGUGAUAUGCAAAGCCAUAAGCUUGGGGAUGCUAUGUUUGAUGAAGAUGAUAUUUUUAGUCCCUGAAGAUUUGAUGUGCAAAUUUGUUAUAAUGAUUGCACGCCUCCUAUUUAUUAUGAUUAUAUUGAUGAAAGUGGGUUUGGAAGAGUGUCAACUUUAGAUAGUGAUCCCACUAUUUGGACGGUGUUGAAUCUUAUUGUUAUAAUGAUAAAAGUGGAUUUGGAGAGGUCAUGACUUUAUUUAGUGAUGAAUCCACUAUUUCGGAAGAGGUUCCAAUUGAUUAUGAGAACAAAAUUGCUACAUAUGAUGAUUAUGGUGAUGACAUGUAUGCUAUAAAGAAUAAUGAUAACCAUGAAACUUGUCAUCAUGAUUUUAAUUUUCAAUCUCAUGAUAGUUAUUUUGUUGAGUUUGCUCCCACUACUAUUGAUGAGAAGAAAUUUUGUUAUGUGGAGAGUAAUGAGUUUUCUAUGCUUUUGUGUCAUGGAAAGAAUGCUUUAUGUGAUAGUUAUAUUGUUGAUUUUCUUCAUGAUGCAACUGAAAAUUUUUAUGAGGGAGGAACUUAUGCUUGUAGGAAUUGCAAUAAUAUCAAGUUUCCUCUCUAUGUGUUGAAAGUUUUGAAGUUAUGCUUGUUUUGCCUUCCUAUGCUAGUUGAUUAUUGUUCCCAUAAGUUGUUUGCUCACAAAAUCCUAUGCAUAGGAAGUGGGUUAGACUUAAAUGUGCUAGUCAUAUGCUUCAUGACGCUCUCUUUGUGUUUCAAUUCUUUACUUUUAUGCGAGCAUCAUUGAAAUCAUCAUGCCUAGCUAAAAGGCAUUAAAGAAAAGCGCUUGUUGGGAGACAACCCAAAACUUUUACCUAUUGUUUUUGUGUGUUCACAUGAUUAGGCAAUUGUAGUAAUCAUGUUUUAUUGCAUUCGUUUCAAUAAAGUGCCAAGUAAGACCUUUGGGAUCAUGUUGGGUGAUAGUAGAUUUGAUCUUGCUGAAAAACAGAAACUUUGGUGCUCACGAAAAUAAGUCUCAUUUUUAAUAGAAGAGUGAUUUUGAGUUGAUUCUUUUUGCAGAAGUUUAAUUUACAAAUUGCUCACGUGGUCAUAAUUUUUUGAGUAGCAUAAGUAUGGUAGUUAUCCAGAUCAUUACAGUCUGUUCUGUUUUUGACAGAUUCUAUUUUCAAUGCAUAGUUUGCUUGUUUUCUAGUUUCUGUGGCUUAUAUUACUCAAUAUAAAUUGUGGAAAUGAUGAGGUACAGUAGGCAUUGUGUGGAAAAAAAUAUGAAUCUUAUCUUUGGUAGUACCAAAGUGAAAUGGUUUGCUCUUUAUCAUACUAACCUAUCUCACGAAUUUUUGUUAAGUUUUGUGUGAUUGAAGUUUUCAUGUUUUGGGUGAGAUAUCGAUAUGAGGAGCAUAAGGAGUGACAAGACCCCAAGAUUGGGGAUGCCCAAGGCACCCCAAGUUAAUAUCCAAGGAAGAUCCAAGCAACUAAACUUGGGGAUGCCCCGGAAGGCAUCCCCUCUUUCGUCUCCAACAUUAUCGGUAACCUCACUUGGAGCUAUGUUUUCUUCGUCACAUGAUUUGUGUUUUGCUUGGAGCAUCAUUUUAUUUUGUUAGGAUGUGCUUGAUGUUAUUUAUAAUAAUGUUUUGCAUCUUUUAUUUCAAUAAAAGUGGCAAUGAUAGCCUUUGCCAUGCUUAUUUUGCAAGUAUACAUGUUGCUGUUUGAAAACAGAAAGUUUACCGUUGUUGCAAAAAUUCCCUAGAUAAGUCAGAAUGUGAUAAAAUGUUGAAACUUUUUCAAUGAUAAGCUAGGAUAAAUUCUCUACAGUGUGGUAGAAUUCCAUAAUGUUUGGAGGUGAAUAAGUAUUGAUACUCUUGCAUUUUUUACAGACUGUAUUGUUUUGGCAGAUUGCUGUUAUGUUUGAAUUGUUUGCAUAUGUUUGCUUAUUUAAUGAUCCUAUUUGUGGAUAUGAGUAUUAAAUAUGCAGAGGCAUUUAGUAUGCAAUGUUGAAUAAUAAUUUUAGUGAUUUGCUACAGUAGAUAAUGAUAAGGUUUUUGCAUUGGUUUAUACUAACUUAUCUCACGAGUUCUUGUUGAGUUUUGUGUGGAUGAAGCUUUUGAGAUUUAGGAAAACCGUGAUAUGAGAGGAAUUAAGGAGACAUAAAAGCUCAAGCUUGGGGAUGCCCAAGGCAUCCGAAGAUAAUAUUUGUAUAAGUCUCAAGCAUCUAAACUUGGGGAUGCCCCGGUAGGCAUCCCACCUUUUUUCUUCAACAAUUAUCGGUUAGUAUCGGUUGAGCCUAAGUUUUUGCUUCUUCACAUGAGUUGUGCUAUUCUUGGAACGUCAUUUUAUUUUUGUUUUUCUUGUUGUUUUACUAAAAUACUUAGAUCUGAAAGUUUUAAAUAAGAGAGAGUCCAGACAUAGCUAUCUAUUUACUUAACUACUCAUUUGAUCUUCACUUAUAUCUUUUUGGAGUAGCUUGUCAUUUACUCUUGUGCUUCACUUAUAUCCUAUGAGUAAAUUGUUGAAUGAAUUGAAUAUCACGAAGUUGAAAUUAUAUCAUGCCUAGUGGUAGCUUCACAUUGGGUUUAGAAAGUGAAAUCUUUUGAGGCUUGACAAUCACAAUAUUGGUCAUACAAGAAUUCACGAAUAAUUAGUAUAAGGAAGAGAACUUUCACAUGCAAAUACAUUAUCAUGGAAAUCUUUUGUGAUUGUGAGCCCCCAUCAAAAUAUUAUAUGCCAAAAUUAUUGUCAUUGGACAAGGAAGACAAUGUAGUGAUUUAUGUUUGCUCAUAUUCACAUAGAAGUUAUAUUGUCAUAUAGCCUUCAACAUGUGGUGCUUGUCCCCAUCUUUGCUAGCCAAAAAUUUCGCACCAAGUAGAGAUACUACUUGUGCAUCCAAAAACCCUUAAACCCAAAUCUUAUUUUCAAGAGUCCACCAUACCUACCUAAGGAUUGAGUCAGAUCCUUCAAUUAAGUUGUCAUCGGUGCAUUAAGGCAAUAAAAAUUGCUUCUACAAAGUGAGAUCAUUUAGUGUAAGAGAAAAUUGAGCCUUGUACGAACUUGGAUGGCAAAGAAUAAAAUCGACAGACUGCAUAAUAAAGGUUGCCAUCUGAAGGGGCAAUACAACGUGACGUUCUUUUGCACUAAGGGAUUGAGCAUACAAAAAAAUAAGCGCAUGGCAACCUCUGCUUCCCUCUGCGAAGGGCCUAUCUUUUACUUUUAUGCAAGAGUCAAAGUUUUUCUCUCUAUUCCUUUUUUAUUUUCUCUUUUGGCAAGCAUCAUGUGGUGAGGAAAGAUCUAGGCACACAUGUCCAGUUGAAUAUGAGUAGCAUGAGUUAUUAUUGUUGACAUCACCCUUGAGGUGAAUACGUUGGGAGGCAAAACUCUAAGCCCCUAUCUUUCUAUGUGUCCGGUUGAAACGUUUUGCUCAUGUGUAUGCGGUGAGUGUUAGCAGUCAUAGAAGACUAUAUGAUGGUUGAGUAUGUGGAGCUCUUACUUACUCUGUUGAAUAAGUUGAAUUGCAAUUGCUUGGUGACUACGAACAUAGGUUGUUGAGUUUCAAGAGAGUUCAUUGUUUGGACCUUAACAUGUGAAUUGGUUGCUACUAUUGUUGGGGAACAUAGUAAUUUCAAAAAAUUCCUACGCACACGCAAGAUCAUGGUGAUGCAUAACAACGAGAGGGGAGAGUGUGUCCACGUACCCUCGUAGACCGAAAGCGGAAGCGUUAGCACAACGCGGUUGAUGUAGUCGUACGUCUUCACGGCCCGACCGAUCAAGCACCGAAACUACGGCACCUCCGAGUUGUAGCACACGUUCAGCUCGAUGACGUCCCUCGAACUCCGAUCCAGCCGAGUGUCGAGGGAGAGUUCUAUCAGCACAACGGCGUGGUGACGAUCUUGAUGUUCUACCGUCGCAGGGCUUCACCUAAGCACCGCUACGAUAUUAUCGAGGUGGACUAUGGUGGAGGGGGGCACCGCACACAACUAAGAGAUCCAAGGGAUCAAUUGUUGUUGUGUCUUUGGGGUGCCCCCUGCCCCCGUAUAUAAAGGAGCAAGGGAGGAGGAGGCCGGCCCUAGGAGGGGGCGCGCCAAGGGGAGUCCUACUCCCACCGGGAGUAGGACUCCCUCCUUCCUUGUUGGAGUAGGAGAAGGGGAAAGAGGGGGAGAGGAAGAAGGAAAAGGGGGCUGCGCCCCUUGUCCAAUUCGGACCAGAGGGAGGACGCAGGCCACCUUCCUUUUGGCCUCUCUGCUCUAUUCCCGUAUGGCCCAAUAAGGCCCAUAUACUCCCCGGCGAAUUCCCAUAACUCUCCGGUACUCCGAAAAAUACCCGAAUCACUCGGAACCUUUCCGAAGUCCGAAUAUAGUCGUCCAAUAUAUCGAUCUUUACGUAUCAACCAUUUCGGACUCCUCGUCAUGUCCCCGAUCUCAUCCGGGACUCUGAACUCCUUCGGUACAUAAAAACUCAUAAACUCAUAAUAUAACUGUCAUCAAAACCUUAAGCGUGCGGACCCUACGGGUUCGAGAACUAUGUAGACAUGACCGAGACACAUCUCCGGUCAAUAACCAAUAGCGGAACCUAGAUGCUCAUAUUGGCUCCCACAUAUUCUACGAAGAUCUUUAUCGGUCAAACCGCAUAACAACAUACGUUGUUCCCUUUGUCAUCGGUAUGUUACUUGUCCGAGAUUCGAUCGUCGAUAUCCAAUACCUAGUUCAAUCUCAUUACCGGCAAGUCUCUUUACUCGUUACGUAAUGCAUCAUUCCGUAACUAACUCAUUAGCUACAUUGCUUGCAAGGCUUAUAGUGAUGUGCAUUACCGAGAGGGGCCAGAGAUACCUCUCCGACAAUCGGAGUGACAAAACCUAAUCUUGAAAUACGCCAACCCAACAUGUACCUUCGGAGACACCUGUAGAUCUCCUUUAUAAUCACCCAGUUACGUUGUGAUGUUUGGUAGCACACAAAGUGUUCCUCCGAUAAACGGGAGUUGCAUAAUCUCAUAGUUACAGGAACAUGUAUAAGUCAUGAAGAAAGCAAUAGCAACAGACUAAACGAUCAAGUGCUAGGCUAACGGAAUGGUCAUGUCAAUCACAUCAUUCUUCUAAUGAUGUGAUCCCUUUAAUCAAAUGACAACACAUGUCUAUGGUUAGGAAACAUAACCAUCUUUGAUUAAUGAGCUAGUCAAGUAGAGGCAUACUGGUGACGUUAUGUUUGUCUAUGUAUUCACACAUGUAUUAUGUUUCCGGUUAAUACAAUUCUAGCAUGAAUAAUAAACAUUUAUCAUGAUAUAAGGAAAUAAAUAAUAACUUUAUUAUUACCUCUAGGGCAUAUUUCCUUCAGUCUCCCACUUGCACUAGAGUCAAUAAUCUAGUUCACAUCAUCAUGUGAUUCAACACCAAUAUUCAUAUCCGUAUGUGAUUAACACCCAUAGUUCACAUCAUCAUGUGACCAACACCCAAAGGGUUUACUAGAGUCAAUAAUCUCGUUCACAUCGCUAUGUGAUUAACACCCAAGAGUACUAAGGUAUGAUCAUGUUUUGCUCGUGAGAGAAGCUUAGUCAACGGGUCUGUCACAUUUAGAGCCGUAUGUAUUUUGUAAAUAUUCUAUGUCUACAAUGCUCUGCAUGGAGCUACUCUAGCUAAUUGCUCCCACUUUCAAUAUGUAUCUAGACCGAGACUUAGAGUCAUCUAGAUUAGUGUCAAAACUUGCAUCGACGCAACCCUUUACGACGAGCCUUUUUGUCACCUCCAUAAUCGAGAAACAUAUCCUUAUUCCCCUAAGGAUAAUUUUGACCGUUGUCAAGUGAUCUACUCCUAGAUCACUAUUGUACUCCCUUGCUAAAAUCAGUGUAGGGUAUACAAUAGAUCUGGUACACAGUAUGGCAUACUUUAUAGAACCUAUGGCUGAGGCAUAGGGAAUGACUUUCAUUCUCUUUCUAUCUUCUGCCGUGGUCGAGCUUUGAGUCUUACUCAAUUUCACACCUUGUAACACAGGCAAGAACUCUUUCUUUGACUGUUCCAUUUUGAACUACUUCAAAACCUUGUCAAGGUAUGUACUCAUUGAAAAACUUAUCAAGCGUCUUGAUCUAUCUCUAUAGAUCUUGAUGCUCAAUAUGUAAGCAGCUUCACCGAGGUCUUUCUUUCAAAAACUCCUUUCAAACACUCCUUUAUGCUUUGCAGAAUAAUUCUACAUUAUUUCCGAUCAACAAUAUGUCAUUCACAUAUACUUAUCAGAAAUGUUGUAGUGCUCCCACUCACUUUCUUGUAAAUAUAGGCUUCACCGUAAGUCUGUAUAAAACUAUAUCCUUUGAUCAACUUAUCAAAGCGUGUAUUCCAACUCUGAGAUGCUUGCACCAGUCCAUAGAUGGAUCGCUGGAUCUUGCAUAUUUUGUUAGCUCCUUUAGGAUUGACAAAACCUUCUGGUUGCAUCAUAUACAACUCUUCUUUAAUAAAUCCAUUAAAGAAUGUAGUUUUGACACCCAUUUUCCAGAUUCCAUAAAAUGUGGCAAUUGCUAACAUGAUUCAGACAGACUUAAGCAUCACUACAGUUGAGAAAAUCUCAUUGUAGUCAACAUCUUGAACUUGUCGAAAACCUUUUUGUGACAAGUCGAGUGAGGGAGUCCCGUACUAGGGGGUGUCCGGAUAACCGAACUAUCAUCGUCGGCCGGACUCCAAGACUACGAAGAUACAAGAUUGAAGACUUCGUCCCGUGUCCGGAGGGGACUUUCCUUGGCAUGGAAGGCAAGCUUGGCGAUACGGAUAUGUAGAUCUCCUACCAUUGUAACCGACUCUGUGUAACCCUAGCCCUCUCCGGUGUCUAUAUAAACCGGAUGGCUUUAGUCCAUAGGACGAACAACAAUCAUGCCAUAGGCUAGCUUCUAGGGUUUAGCCUCCUUGAUCUCGUGGUAGAUCUACUCUUGUAACACACAUCAUCAAUAUUAAUCAAGUAGGACGUAGGGUUUUACCUCCAUCAAGAGGGCCCGAACUUGGGUAAAACAUCGUGUCCCUCGUCUCCUGUUACCAUCCGCCUAGACGCACAGUUCGGGACCCCCUACCCGAGAUCCACCGGUUUUGACACCGACAUCGGGCUUUGUAGAUAGUAACACUACUAUCAGUGUCCGUCUUCCUCUUGAAGAUCCAUUUAUUUAACAUGGCUUGCUGAUCAUUGAGCAAGUCAAUCAAAGUCCAUACUUUGUUCUCAUACUUGGAUCCUAUCUCAGAUUUCAUGGCCUCAAGCCAUUUCGCGGAAUCUGGGCUCAUCAUUGCUUCCUCAUAGUUUGUAGGUUCAUCAUGGUCUAGUAACAUGACUUCCAGAACAUGAUUACUGUACCACUCUGGUUCGGAUCUUACUCUGGAAGACCUACGAGGUUUGGUAGCAACUUGAUCUGAAGUUUCAUGAUCAUCAUCAUUAACUUCCUCACUAAUUGGUGUAGGAAUCACUGGAACUGAUUUCUGUGAUGAACUACUUUCCAAUAAGGGAGAAGGUACAAUUACCUCAUCAAUUUCUACUUUCCUCCCACUCACUUCUUUCGAGAGAAACUUCUUCUCUAGAAAGGAUCCAUUUUAGCAACGAAUAACUUGCCUUCAGAUCUGUGAUAGAAGGUGUACCCAAUAGUUACCUUUGGGUAUUCUAUGAAGACGCACUUCUCCAAUUUGGGUUCGAGCUUAUCAGGUUGAAACUUUUUCACAUAAGCAUCGCUUUCCCGAACUUUAAGAAACGACAACUUUGGUUUCUUGCCAAACCACAGUUCAUAAGGCGUCGUCGCAGCGGAUUUUGAUGGUGCCCUAUUUAAAGUGAAUGCAAUUGUCUCUAAUGCAUAACCCCAAAACAAUAGUGGUAAACUGAUAAGAGACAUCAUAGAUCGCACCAUAUCCAAUAAAGUGCGGUUACGACGUUCGGACACACUAUAACGCUGUGGUGUUCCAUGUGGCGUGAGCUGUGAAACUAUUCCACAUUGUUUUAUAUGAAGGCCAAACUCGUAACUCAAAUAUUCUUCUCCACGAUCAGAUCGUAGAAACUUUAUUUUCUUGUUACGAUGAUUCUCCACUUCACUCUGAAAUUCUUUGAACUUUCAAAUGUUUCAGACUUGUGUUUUAUUAAGUAGAUAUACUCAUAUCUGCUCAAAUCAUCUUGUGAAGGUCAGAAAAUAAUGAUACCCGCCACGAGCACCAAUACUCAUUGGAUCGCAUACAUCGGUAUGUAUUAUUUCCAACAAGUCAGCAGCUCGUUCCAUUGUUCUGAAGAACGGAGUUUUAGUCAUCUUGCCCAUAAGGCACAGUUCACAAGUAUCAAAUGAUUCAUAACCAAGUGAUUCCAAAAAUCCAUCUUUAUGGAGUUUCUUCAUGCGCUUUACACCGAUAUGACCCAAACGGCAGUGCCACAAAUAACUUGCACUAUCAUUAUUAACUUUGCAUCUUUUGGCAUCAAUAUUAUGAAUAUGUGUAUCACUACGAUUGAGAUCCAAUAAACUAUUUUCAUUGGGUGUAUGACCAUUGAAGGUUUUAUUCAUGUAAAUAGAACAACAAUUAUUCUCUGACUUUAAAUGAAUAACCGUAUUGCAAUAAACAUGAUCAAAUCAUAUUCAUGCUCAUCGCAAACGCCAAAUAACAUUUAUUUAGGUUCUACACAAAUCUCGAAAGUGUAGGGAGAGUGUGAUGAUGAUCAUAUCAAUCUUGGAACUACUUCCAACACACAUCGUCACUUCACCCUCAACUAGUCUCUGUUUAUUCUGUAACUCCUGUUUCGAGUUACUAAUAUUUAGCAACCGAACAAGUAUCAAAUACUCAGGGGCUACUAUAAACACUAGUAAAGUACACAUCAAUAACAUGUAUAUCAAAUAUACCCUUGUUCACUUUGCCAUCCUUCUUAUCCACCAAAUAUUCAGGGCAUCUCCGCUUCUAGUGACCAUUUCCUUUGCAGUAUAAUCACUCAGUUUCAGGCUUUGGUCCAGCUUUGGGCUUCUUUGCGGGAGUGACAACUUGCUUGCCAUUCUGCUUGAAGUUCCCUUUCUUUCCUUUUUCUUGAAACUAGUGGUCUUGUAUAUCAACACUUGAUGCUCUUUCUUGAUUUCUACCUUCGUCGAUUUCAGCAUCACGAAGAGCUCGAGAAUCAUUUUUGUCAUCCCUUGCAUUAUAGUUCAUCACGAAGUUCUAGUAACUUAGUGAUGGUGACAAGAGAAUUCUGUCAAUCACUAUCUUAUCUGGAAGAUUAACUCCCACUUGAUUCAAGCGAUUGAAGUACCCAGACAAUCUGAGCGCAUGCUCACUAGUUGAGCGAUUCUCCUCCAUCUUUUAGCUAUAGAACUUGUUGGAGACUUCAUAUCUCUCAACUCGAGUAUUUGCUGGAAAUAUUAACUUCAACUCCUGGAACAUCUCAUAUGGUCCAUGGCGUUCAAAACGUCUUUGAAGUCCCGAUUCUAAGCUGUUAAGCAUGGUGCACUACACUAUCGAGUAGUCAUCAUAUUGAGCUAGCCAAACGUUCAUAAUGUCUGCAUCUGCUCCUGCAAUAGGUCUGUCACCUAGUGGUGCAUUAAGGACAUAAUUCUUCUGUGCAGCAAUGAGGAUAAACCUCAGAUCACGGAUCCAAUCCGCAUCAUUGCUACUAACAUCUUUCAACACAAUUUUCUCUAGGAACAUAUCAAAAUAAACAUACGAAAGCAACAACGCAAGCUAUUGAUCUACAACAUAAUUUGCAAAAUACUACCAGGACUAAGUUCAUGAUAAAUUUAAGUUCAAUUAAUCAUAUUACUUAAGAACUCCCACUUAGAUAGACAUCCCUCUAAUCCUCUAAGUGAUUACAUGAUCCAUAUCAACUAAACCAUGUCCGAUCAUCACAUGAGAUGGAGUAGUUUCAAUGGUGAACAUCACUAUGUUGAUCAUAUCUACUAUAUGAUUCACGCUCGACCUUUCGGUCUCCGUGUUCCGAGGCCAUAUCUGUUAUAUGCUAGGCUCGUCAAGUUUAACCUGAGUAUUCCGCGUGUGCAACUGUUUUGCACCCGUUGUAUUUGAACGUAGAGCCUAUCACACCCGAUCAUCACGUGGUGUCUCAGCAUGAAGAACUUUCGCAAUGGUGCAUACUCAGGGAGAACACUUCUUGAUAAUUAGUGAGAGAUCAUCUUAAAAUGCUACCGUCAAUCAAAGCAAGAUAAGAUGCAUAAAGGAUAAACAUCACAUGCAAUCAAUAUAAGUGAUAUGAUAUGGCCAUCAUCAUCUUGUGCUUGUGAUCUCCAUCUCCGAAGCACCGUCGUGAUCACCAUCGUCACCGGUGCGACACCUUGAUCUCCAUCGUAGCACCGUUGUCGUUACGACAUCUAUUGCUUCUACGACUAUCGCUACCGCUUAGUGAUAAAGUAAAGCAUUACAGGGCGAUUGCAUUGCAUACAAUAAAGCGACAACCAUAUGGCUCCUGCCAGUUGCCGAUAACUUGGUUACAAAACAUGAUCAUCUCAUAAAAUAAAAUAUAGCAUCACGUCUUGACCAUAUCACAUCACAACAUGCCCUGCAAAAACAAGUUAGACGUCCUCUGCUUUGUUGUUGCAAGUUUUACGUGGCUGCUACAGGCUUAGCAAGAACCGUUCUUACCUACGCAUAAAAACCACAACGAUAGUUCGUCAAGUUAGUGCUGUUUUAACCUUCACAAGGACCAGGCGUAGCCACACUUGGUUCAACUAAAGUUGGAGAAACUGACACCCGCCAGCCACCUGUGUGCAAAGCACGUCGGUAGAACCAGUCUCGCGUAAGCGUACGCGUAAUGUCGGUCCGGGCCGCUUCAUCCAACAAUACCGUCGAACCAAAGUAUGACAUGCUGGUAAGCAGUAUGACUUGUAUCACCCACAACUCACUUGUGUUCUACUCGGUGCAUAUAACAUCUACGCAUAAAACCAGGCUCGGAUGCCACUGUUGGGGAACGUAGUAAUUUCAAAAAAUUCCUACGCACACGCAAGAUCAUGGUGAUGCAUAGCAACGAGAGGGGAGAGUGUGUCCACGUACCCUCGUAGACCGAAAGCGGAAGCGUUAGCACAACGCGGUUGAUGUAGUCGUACGUCUUCAUGGCCUGACCGAUCAAGCACCGAAACUACGGCACCUCCGAGUUCUAGCACACGUUCAGCUUGAUGACGUCCCUCGAACUCCGAUCCAGCCAAGUGUCGAGGGAGAGUUCUGUCAGCACGACGGCGUGGUGACGAUCUUGAUGUUCUACCGUCGCAGGGCUUCACCUAAGCACCGCUACGAUAUUAUCGAGGUGGACUAUGGUGGAGGGGGGCACCGCACACGGCUAAGAGAUCCAAGGGAUCAAUUAUUGUUGUGUCUUUGGGGUGCCCCCUGCCCCCGUAUAUAAAGGAGCAAGGGAGGAGGAGGCCGGCCCUAGGAGGGGGCGCGCCAAGGGGAGUCCUACUCCCACCGGGAGUAGGACUCCCUCCUUCCUUGUUGGAGUAGGAGAAGGGGAAAGAGGGGAAGAUGAAGAAGGAAAAGGGGGCUGCGCCCCUUGUCCAAUUCGGACCAGACGGGGGGCGCAGGCCUCCUUCCUUUUGGCCUCUCUCCUCUAUUCCCGUAUGGCCCAAUAAGGCCCAUAUACUCCCCGGCGAAUUCCCGUAACUCUCUGGUACUCCGAAAAAUACCCGAAUCACUCAGAACCUUUCCGAAGUCCGAAUAUAGUCGUCCAAUAUAUCGAUCUUUACGUCUCGACCAUUUAGAGACUCCUCGUCAUGUCCCCGAUCUCAUCCGGACUCCGAACUCCUUCGGUACAUCAAAACUCGUAAUAUAACUGUCAUCGAAACCUUAAGCGUGCGGACCCUACGGGUUCGAGAACUAUGUAGACAUGACCGAGACACGUCUCCGGUCAAUAACCAAUAGCGGAACCUGGAUGCUCAUAUUGGCUCCCACAUAUUCUACGAAGAUCUUUAUCGGUCAAACCGCAUAACAACAUACGUUGUUUCCUUUGUCAUCGGUAUGUUACUUGUUCGAGAUUCGGUCGUCGGUAUCCAAUACCUAGUUCAAUCUCAUUACUGGCAAGUCUCUUUACUCGUUACGUAAUGCAUCAUUCUGUAACUAACUCAUUAGCUACAUUGCUUGCAAGGCUUAUAGUGAUGUGCAUUACCGAGAGGGCCCAGAGAUACCUCUCCGACAAUCGGAGUGACAAAUCUUAAUCUCAAAAUAGGCCAACCCAACAUGUACCUUCAGAGACACCUGUAGAGCUCCUUUAUAAUCACCCAGUUACGUUGUGACGUUUGGUAGCAUACAAAGUGUUCCUCCGGUAAAUGGGAGUUGCAUAAUCUCCUAGUUACAGGAACAUGUAUAAGUCAUGAAGAAAGCAAUAGCAACAUACUAAACGAUCAAGUGCUAGGCUAACGGAAUGGGUCAUGUCAAUCACAUCAUUCUCCUAAUGAUGUGAUCCCUUUAAUCAAAUGACAACACAUGUCUAUGGUUAGGAAACAUAACCAUCUUUGAUUAAUGAGCUAGUCAAGUAGAGGCAUACUAGUGACGUUAUGUUUGUCUAUGUAUUCACACAUGUAUUAUGUUUCCGGUUAAUACAAUUCUAGCAUGAAUAAUAAACAUUUACCAUGAUAAAAGGAAAUAAAUAAUAACUUUAUUAUUACCUCUAGGGCAUAUUUCCUUCAACUAUAACAUGAGAAGUUUAUAAGAAAGAAUUGCUAUUUGAUGCUAGGAAAAGUGAUUAAAUUUAUCAUUGAUCAAACUUAUGUACUUUGCUAGCAUUCACUCUUCAUAAAUUAUUUCUUUUAUCAUUUACUGACUCGAGGACAAGUAGGAAUUAAGCUUGGGGAUGCUGAUAUGUCUCCAACGUAUCUAUAAUUUAUGAAUUAUUCAUGCUGUUAUUUUAUCAUUCUUGGAUGUUUUACGAUCAUUUUAUAGCAAAUUUAUAUCAUUUUCUGGGACUAACCUAUUGACCCAGUGCCCAAUGCCAGUUGUUGUUUUUUGCUUGUUUUUACAUCGCAUGAAAUCAAUACCAAAUGGAGUCCAAACGCAACGAAACUCCACGGAGAUUUUUUUAUGUACUAGAAGGAAUCCAAUGUGCCAGAGCUGCACCUGGGGGGUGCCCCGAGGGGGGCACAACCCACCAGGGUGCGCCAGGGCCCCCUAGCGUGCCGAGGUGGGUUGUGCGCACCUCGGUGGCCUCCUGCACCCCCUCUUUACCCUAUAAAUUCCCAAAAAUUCCAAAAACCCUCGGGGUUAACCUAGAACAGAAUUCCUGCCGCUGCAGGGCUCCGUAGCCACCGAAAACCAAUCUAGACCCGUUCUGGCACCUUGCCGAAGGGGGGAAUCAUCUCCAGUGGCCAUCUUCAUCAUCCCAGCGGCCACCACGAUGAGGAGGGAGUAGUCCACCCUCGGGGAUGAGGGUUUGUACCAGUAGCUAUGUGUUUAAUCUCUCUCUCUCUCUCUCUCUCUCUCGUGUUCUUGAGAUGUCACGGUCUUGAUGUAUCGCGGGCUUUGUUAAUAUAGUCGGGUCAUAUGGUGUUUUCCCCUCUCUAUAUUGUUGUGAUGAAUUGAGUAUUUCCCUUUGAGAUUUCGUUUUUAUCGGAUUGGAUACUUUGAUGGAUUUGAGAACACUUGAUAUAUGCCUUGAAAUUGAAUACUCGUGGUGACAAUGGGGUAUCAUAUUGAUUCACAUGAUAUAUGUUCUUUCACUCAACUCGUGGAUUCUCGAGGUGACAUUGGGGUAAUCUAUGCAUAGGAGUUGAUGCACGUUCUUGUCUUUGUUUCCCCGGUAGAAAUCUUGGGGCACUCUUUGAAGUUCUUUAUGUUGGAUUGAGUAUUACGAAUAUGGAUUUGCUUUGGUGUUAUUUUAGUACGAACUCUAGGAUAGAUCGAACGGAAAGAAUAGCUUUGUGUUAUUUUACUACGAACUCUUGAAUAGAUCGAACGGAAAGAAUAGCUUUGAGGUGGUUCCGUACCCUACAAACAAUUUAUUCUUAUGUUCUCCGCUAGAUAGGAACUUUGGAGUGACUCUCCAUCGCACUUUGAGGGGUGUUUAUAUGAUCCAAUUAUAUUAGCAUUGUUGAGAGAUUGCACUAGCGAAAGUACGGACCCUAGGCCUCAUUUUCAAGCAUUGCAAUGCCAUUUUUGUGCCCGUUUACUAUUUGCUACCUUGCUGUUUUUAUUUCUUCGGAUUACAAAAAUAUAUUUCUACCAUCCAUAUUACACUUUUAUCACCAUCUCUUCGCCGAACUAGUGCACCUAUACAAUUUGCCAUUGUAUUGGGUGUGUUGGGGACACAAGAGAUUUCCUGUAUUUGGUUGCAGGGUCAUUUGAGAGAGACCAUCUUCAUCCUACACCUCUCAGGGAUUGAUAAAGCUUAGGUUAUCCACUUGAGGGAAAAUUACUACUGUCCUACAAAACUCUGUGCUUGGAGGCCCAACACGUGUCUACAAGAAUAAAGUUGCGUAGUAGACAUCUAGUUACUAGCCGAAGCCUUUGCGGCUGAAGAACUAACCACCCUACGAUCCACAAUGGACAAGGAUGAUGUGAUUCUCGACAAGACAUAUAAAUGCACCUCUUUCAAGCCAGCAGAUGAAAUAGUUAAAUUCCAAGUGCACCCGGCGGAUCCUAAUAAAACAGCGUCCAUCAGAGCACAGCUGGAUCCGACGGCAGACGCCGCCUUAUGUGUGUUCCUACGUGAAAAUCGGGAUAUCUUUGGCUGGCACCCCUUAGACAUGCCCGGGAUCCCACACAGACUGGCCGAACACAGCCUCAACAUAAUCAAAGGGUUCAAACCAGUCAAGCAAACGCUACGGCGAUUUUCCGAACCCAAACGACAAGCUAUGGUGGAGGAGCUAGCCAAACUGCUCGAGGACGGGUUUAUCAGAGAAAUCAAACACCCGGAUUGGUUAGCCAACUUGGUCAUGGUGCCGAAGAAGGAUCAAUCUUGGCGCCUUUGUGUCGAUUUCAAAGACCUCAAUAAGGCUUGCCCUAAAGCCCCUUUCCCAUUACCUCGCAUUGACCAGAUCAUUGACGCGACCGUGGGACACGACUCAUUGUGUUUCCUCGACGCUUACUUCGGAUACCAUCAGAUUAAAAUGUAAGAGUCUGAUCAGGCCGCAAUGGCGUUCAUCACCCCAUAUGGGCCUUUCUAUUUCAACACUAUGCCUUUUGGGCUUAAAAACGCUGAUGCCACUUACCAACACAUGAUUCAAACAUGCUUGGAAAAUAAAAUCGGCAAGAAAGUUGAAGAAUAUGUGGAUGACGUGGUCAUGAAGACUAAACACGUCGAAUCACUGGUGGACGAUCUCCGCCUCACAUUUGACAACCUCCAAACAUACGAAUCAAUCCGGAAAAAUGCGUCUUCGGUGUACCAGCCGGAAAGCUAUUAGGGUUCAUUGUCUCCCAUAGAGGAAUUGAAGCAAACGGAGCUAAAAUCCGAGACUUUCCGCAAUUGGCCACACCAACAGACUUAAAGCAGGUCCAAAAGCUAGCAGGGUGCGUGGCGGCUUUGAGCCGCUUCAGUUCCAGAUUAGGAGAAAAAGCAUUACCACUUUAUAGACUGCUUAGACGCACCGACAACUUUGAAUGAACGGAUGCGGCCACAACCAGAUUGUAGGAAAUAAAAACCUUAUUAGCAGGCAACCCAAUCCUAGCCGCCCCAAGUGUUGGCGAGCCUAUGUUGCUUUAUAUCUCCUCAACUCAACAUGUAAUGAGCGAUGUACUCGUCGUCGAGCAAGGGGAAGAGGGACUUCACCAUCCAAAAGCCAGUGUAUUACGUAUCAGAGGUCCUUACACCAUGCAAAUCCCGAUACCCUCACUACCAGAAGAUAGCUUACGUGGUCUUUAUGGCAUCCCGAAAACUCCGACACUAUUUUCAAGAGUGUUCGAUCACGGUGGCAUCCGAAGUACCACUUAACGACAUUAUAAACAACAGGGAGGCCACCGGCCGCAUAGCUAAAUGGGUAACUGAGCUCUUACCAUUUGAAAUAACAUACAAGCCACGCCGAGCUAUUAAAUCUCAGGUGCUGGCCGACUUCGUUGCCGAGUGGAUGGAAGCCGAUCUCCCUAAAGAGUACAGUUCAUACUCCAACUGCAUGUACUUCGACGACUCUAAAAUGCUAGCCGGACUGGGGGCUGGUGUCAUCUUGACAUCCCCUACGGGGGACACGGUCCGCUACAUGUUGCAAAUCAUGUAUACGGACUCCAAUAAUGCAGCUGAAUACGAGGCACUUCUACAUGGUCUCCGCAUGGCUUUCUCCAUGGGCAUACAAUGCCUCGAGGUGCGUGGUGACUCAAUCCUUGCAAUAUCUCAGAUAAAUGGAGAUUUUGAUGCAAAAGAUCCAAAAAUGGCGGCAUAUCGAAAUGUCGUAUUAAAAAUAUCGGCUAGGUUCGAGGGACUUGAAUUUCAUCACUUCGCUCGAGACAGUAACCAGGCAACGGACAUACUCGCUUGCACGGGCGCCAAGUGCGACCCUGUCCCGCCUAAUACCUUUAUGGAAAGGCUCUUCAGGCCAUCCUUGGUAUGGCAGGAUGGGAGCGGAGACGCCAGUACGGACCUGAUCAUGCCCCCGGCAGCCGAACAUAAUACAGAUAUCAUCGGGGGUCCGGAUACCGAAAUAACACCCUCUGAUCAUGAGAUCAUGGCCAUUAUUGGUCCUUGGACCGAACCCUUCCUGGCCUACCUUAAUAGGCAGGAGCUUCCCGAUGAUCAAAAUGAGGCCCGUCGCAUAGUUUGGCGUUCUAAAGCCUACAAAGUUCAUGAAGGUGAACUGUACAAGAAAAGCACUAUCGGAGUUCUCCAAAUGUGCAUCUCCAAAGAGGAGGGAAGACAACUCCUGGCUGAAAUACAUGCUGGUCUGGGCGGCCAUCAUGCCGCAGCUCGGGCCCUCGUAAGCAAAGCCUUCCGGACAGGUUUUUUCUUGCCAAUGGCCCAAGCAGUCGCACAGGCCCUUGUCCAACGUUGUGUGGGAUGUCAGCUUUUCGCCAAUCAAAGUCAUAUGCCUCCCACUGCCUUAAGAACAAUCCCCAUCACUUGGCCCUUCGCGGUCUGGGGGCUGGAUAUGGUCGGACCCUUUAAAGGGGGAAUCCACAAAAAGAAAUAUUUACUGGUUAUGGUGGAUAAAUUCACUAAGUGGAUAGAGGCCAAACCAAUAAAAACGGCCGAAGCAGGACCAGUGGUUGACUUUAUAUCCGGCGUGGUACACCGCUAUGGUGUCCUGCACAGCAUCAUCACUGAUAAUGGCUCCAAUUUUACAUUUGAUGAGGUGAAAAACUGGUGUGCUAACUUGCACAUUAAACUCGACUAUGCAUCCGACUACCACCCUCAAACAAACAGUCAGAUUGAACGGGCCAAUGGCCUGAUAAUGAGCGGCAUUAAACCCCGACUAGUGCACUCCCUAUGGGAGUCGGAUAAGCAAUGGGUUGAGGAAUUCGAUUCCGUGCUCUGGGGGCUGCGGACUACACCUAACCGAACAACCGGAUAUACACAUUUCUUCAUGGUGUACGGCAUGGACGCUGUCCUGCCCUGCGACAUUAUUCAUGACUCACCUCGAGUGCGCAUGUACGAAGAGCGAGAAGCCGAGCUUGAUCGACAGGACGACCUAGAUGGCCUCGAAGAGGAGUGCGAUAUUGCACAAGCCCGUCCCGCAUUUUAUCAACAACAGGCCAGGCGAUACCAAAGCAGAGAAGUGCGGGCCAAGACAUAUAACAUUGGCGACCUCAUCUUGCGUCUCCUAGAGAAGAAGAAGGAUAAGCUCAAACCAAGAUGGGAGGGCCCCUUCAUCAUAGAUGAAGUUCUCAUGGGAGGAGCCUAUCGCCUUUGUAAUGCAUCGGAUAAUCACCUUGAGCCGAAUCCAUGGAACGCUGCUCGGCUCCAGCGAUUCUACAGAUAGUUCGGUAGCACCUUUUUAGUUUGACUAGGUUCCUUUUUCUCCUCUCUUUUUUUACUUUUUCCUUUUUAUAUCCAAGGGUAUGUUCGGAUCUACUUAACUGUUAGGGGUACACAUCUUUAAAUCUAUACACCCCGCUAUAAUUGGGGCCUUCUUUGAUGAAGCUUAUUAUUAAAAGCUUGUGGCUUACAUUGUUUACGUCAUUUGUUCUAUACACUUUUUUGCCAUUAUAUGCACCUCUAUGACUUAAGUUUUUGCCAAGCUUGGUUGCCUUGCUCCUGUCUUUAUACCCUACGCUCCCUAUUGUUCGGCUAGGGUGUAAAGGGAGCACCUCAGCAAUUGUUACAACCGGGUAAUCCGGAUCUGUACCUCAGAUGGGUGAAGCCAAAAGCUAGCGCUCUUAAGGGAAUAAUUGGUCGGCAAGCAACGACAGAUUAUUUACGUUUAUGUAAUUCUUCUUACAAAUAAGGGAUAGGCUACCCGUAGUUCUAUCUUUUCGAUCAAAGCCUGGGCAUGCAUAAUUAGGCAUGCCGACCCAAGGAAAGGAACCUUAACGGAACUAUUUUCCCUGGAAGAUGUUUUUUACGUUAAAUAGUAAUAUAAUAUAACUCCCCGAACAAAUUUUGUCUGUUUGAGCAAUAUGACCGGAUUGGCUGGUUUCCGGACAUAAUGAAUGUUUAUUACAUUCCAACAUGGUCUCCGGAAACACUCCAACUUCUUGGUUCGCAGGUUGAAGCCAAAGGCCUGCGAUGACAAAUUUUGACAAGUUUGGUUGGAGAUAAGUUUGAUGAUAAAGUACAUUGAUACAUUGAAUCGAACGCCUACUCUUUAUCUAUGUCAUCUAUAAGACUGUUUAAGCUAUAGUCUUCUUGCAAAUAUUUUGCGGCAAUCAUCACUUGGUCAUAUACCAAGUUCACGAGAAUCUUUUUUCCGUCCGGUCCCUGAGGUCCAACUCGGGCCAUACGAUUCGGAUCGAACCCGGUGUAGCGCGUUUUCACCAUCGCCCAUGCCUCUCGUGCACCUUCCUGGCAUGUUGACGCCUUCCAUAGCUCCAAACGGCGUCGGGCACCUUUGAACAGGUUCGCCAACCCCUCCAUGCUUUCUGGAGGGACAUCGGAUGGCCAUAAGGCUUUGGCCAUACUUCUCAUGGCUUUCCAGGCCCGCUCAUGCACUACGGACAGCUCUUUUAGAAUGUCGCCUCAGAAUCUGGAUACUUCUCAUGACGCCCGAUCAACAGACCUGCAAGAACAACAUUAUAACACUCCAAAUUAUGGGAUAAUAUUAGUCCCUUGGAUGGUUCAAAUGUCAUACCGAAUAUGCCACCUUUCAACUUUUUAUUCUCUUUUUGUGUGUUUGACAAUUGAGCCUUUAAGCUCUUUAUCUCUUCGGCUUGCUUAUCCUUUUCCUCCUCCAGUUUGUUCUUUUGAUCAAUGGUCAUUGUGAUCUUCUUCAUUUCCUCUAGCUCUGUGGUGGCGGCAUUUAGCUUUGUCCAUCUCGUUUCAAGCUCCUGGGACAGUGCGUUGUUCUUCUCUUUGAGAACCUGCGGUCAUAAUGAUCCUUAAAUCGGUUGGUCUAAACCGCUUCAAGUCUCGGGGGAUACUGGCAUAUAUCUAUUAAAUUUACACAAAACAUUACAUGCAUAUCUUUUGGAAACAGGUGAGCAACUCCAGCAAGUCUAUCCUGGGUAGCUCGGAUAUAUGCAUCCACAGUGCUGAGGGCAGUAAAUUCCUGCUCGGUAAAAACUAGAGCACGCAUGGUCUCUUUCAGUCGUGGGUGGCUCAUCACGCUCUCCACUUCGGAAUUUGUGACGGAUAUGUCAUUCGAGUCCUCAUGAGGUGGAUGAGUUGGCGCUGCAUCCGUAUUGGCUCUUGUCUUGGUUGAUGAGCCCGGUGCCGGAUUGGCUGAUGAUCGGCUAGCUGGGACUUUACACACGGUUCACCGUGUGCUCCUCCGGAAAUAAGAUGGGAGGAGAAGUAUGACAAUUUGGUCUUAUGCCUAGGCACAUGUUAAAAGUUGUAGCUCUUUGAUGAAGGAGGGGGCCCGACGGCGCUCCUGGUUUCAUUUCGUUUUGAAGGCUCACCCUCCGUAGAUGCUACUCUCCUAGAGGCCCCCUCGAUGGAGUGUAGCUCGUUGAGCACCGAUCCUAUGAAGCACGAUUCAAUGUCAUGGGUGAGACACAAGUGGGUGGCUCCUUUUUUGUGGCUCCUUUUUUGAGGAUGAUUUCCGAGUACUUACCUUGGAGAAAGGGAAAAUGCCGGGGUAGUCGGCCGUAAUAGCCACUUCCGAGCCAUCAAGCCUUGCUUGAUAAAAGACUCCAUCAUCAAACUCUAUAAAUAUAUACGGAUCCUCGCGAAAUCUAGGGUCCUCGUUGCGAGCAUAGUCCUCUGGUUGUGGGGAGGGACAAUGAAUAUUUUCGACCACCUUCCUCCAUGUCUAUUUCAAGAUGACAAGAACAAUUUGAUGAGCACACCUCAAUAAUGAGGUAGGACAAUGUUGAUAAACAAAAACUUACCCAUUCAAUGGGGUUAUACAUGGAGAAACCUUCCCGACAAUUUAAACGGAUGAAUUCUUCUUUCUCCCCUUAUAAAGAUCUACAAGAAUGGCCGCCAGAGCGGCUGGGGUAUCCGGGCCCUCAUGCUUAUAACGAGAUGCGUCAUCCUUUCCAUUGUAACACCAUAAAGGGGUCACUCUAGACUGAAGGGGCUGGAUACAUCGCUUUAUCGCGAUGGCCAUGACUACGAUUAUCAAGAGUUCGGAAUGGGAGAGUAACCUGACCUUGCUAACUAACCUAUUUACUUCCGCACUAUCUUCUUGCUUGGGGCUCCGGGGCCGCCAAUUGAAAUGUUUCCUCUGAUCCCUUCUUGGGAGUUCCGACUGGGUCCGGAAGGGUCGAACUGGGUCCGGAAGGGGAACGUCCUCAACAUAAAACCAUUCUGAAGUCCAUUCUUCUGAUCCCUUCUUGGGAGUUCCGACGAGGUAACCUGAUCCGGCUAUGCACCAUACUUCGGUGCUGCCCACUUCAAAUAUAGAACCCCCUUGAUGACAAGGGACGAGGCAAAAGAAAUUUCUCCACAGUUUAAAAUGAGCCUCGCAGCCUAAAACUGUUCGCAGAGAGCGACAAAACCUGAUAUGUGCAGAAUAGAACCUGGUGUGAGGUUGUGCAGUUGGAUCCUAUAGAAUUCCAAUAGACCUUUGAGGAAUGGGUGGAUCGUGAAUCCUAAGCCCCUCAAAGUAAACGAGAUGGAGCACACCCUCUCCUCCUUGUUGGGGUUGGGAAAAUUCUAUGCUAGUACAUCAUUGCCAAUCGAGGCCAAUCCUACCUGCAUGAGGACUAGAUCUGUGGGAGGGAGACAUCCCUGCGUUUGAAGUCGAUUCAGUUGGAGGUGACACACUGAGCAGCUUCGCCAAUCACCCGCUUGAGGGACAUUAGGCGCGAGGAAGAGCUAGGAGCGCUCACCAUGUUUUGAAGUUUUUUCCUGGUUUGCUCUUAUGCUCCUUGCGCAAUAUGGGAUGGCAUUUGGGGAUCUAACCCCCUUAUGUAAAUGCCGCCCUUGCAUGGUAAGGGGCUUAUUUGUAAAAAAAUAUGGACCAUUCGCAUUCGCCUGGCGCGUGGAAAUCGAGGCGAUGACAAGUAGGAAUGUAAAGGCAGAACAUGAAGUUCAAAGCCGGACUGUCGUCAAUCCGGAAUAUGGUGAGGAACCUGCCUUGCAAAGCUAGAUACUACCUCGCCAUUGAAGGCAAGUUCGGGGGCUACUGAGGGAGUCCUGGAUUCGAGGGUCCUCAGGUGUCCGGCCUAUUCGAUAUGGGCCGGGCUGAUGGGUCGUGAAGACGAAGGAGAAGACCGCCUCCCGCGUCCAGGUAGGACUCCUAUGUGCGUAGAACGACAAGUUUGGUGUCUGGGUGUAAUUCUCUUUGCCUCAGAACCAACUUUGUAUAACCCUAGGUCUCUCUGGUGUGUAUAUAAACCGGAGGGGUUAGUCCACACAGGGCAUCAGAAUAAUCAUAGGCUAGACAGCUAGGGUUUGGCCAUUACGAUCUCGAGGUAGAUCAACUCUCGUAACCCCUAUACUCAUCGAAUACAAUCAAGAAGGACAUAGGGUUUUACCUCCUUCGAGAGGGCCCGAACCUGGGUGAACACCGUGUCUCAUUGUACCUUGUUACCAUUGAUCCUUAGACUCACAGCUUGGGCCACCCUACCCGAGAACUGCCGGUUUUGACACUAACAGGUAUCCCUAGCCCACCAGGGUUCAAGUCAUGAUACUCGCAUUUGUCAUGGAUUUAUUUCAGGAUUUCCGGUGAUCUCCAGGUCAUUCCGUGCUCGACCCUGCACAGAUUGCACAUGCUCGUCAGAUAGUACAACACCAUAGGAUCCACAUCGCGGUUUCCCAGCAUUCCAAUUCUAUGGUUUCGUCGAUUUUUCCUACUUUAUGUGGGAUCAAGAAAUAGCAUGUACAGGGGCCUUCGCACCCAACACACACAGUAGUAUAGCAUGUUCUUUCACAUGUUUACCAUUAAUCGUUUGGUUCGAUUGAUCACAAGCCCAUGUUGCUGAACAGCAAAGCGACUAAACACGCAACAAAUCACCAAACUCCAAUUUAUUAUUAUACACCAAAUGUGCACACAAGUUUAACCGAAGAACGAUACUAAAAACUCAACCGUCUGAUAGGUGGAUCAUCAAAGGAGAAUCAACGCAUCCAGAAGUAAGGCCAACAUAGGAGAGGUGCACCAUGCGAGAGACAUAGCCAGUCGAGGAAAUUCAGCAAGUGAUCCUCAGAAGAACACCCGGACAACGCCACCCCCACGCUGCAUGGUAGGCUUCACAUGCCACCUACUCCAUGACUUUUGCUCCUAGCGUCAACACCCUUUGAUUUCCCUCCUUUUAU
Molecule: long non-coding RNA, 56180 nt
Filed under: Triticum aestivum (bread wheat)
Lineage: Eukaryota; Viridiplantae; Streptophyta; Magnoliopsida; Poales; Poaceae
Description: long non-coding RNA (TAES_LNC007986)
Source: RNAcentral